AAAAAUCAAAUCAAAACUUGCACCACAAAAUCUAGAAUCCUCAAAUAGGUAAUGGUUUUCACCAUUUAUUUAUAAAUUCGUAUCCGCAGUUGACAAAUCCUAAGAGUAUAACAAAAACAUCAAAGAAGAAGAUAUGACGACGUUAAGAAAUUUGAUAAUCAUUGCACUCAUUAUGAUUAUAAUGGCAACCAUGGUAGUCGUCAAUGCCAAAACUAAAGAACUAUGCUUCUUUGAUUGCUUUGAUAACUGCAAAGGAGAGAAAAUGACAUGCACACAAAGUUGCAUUAAAACUUGUGGUUCAUCUGGAUAAUUAUUUAUAAGAAUUGAGAAACAAUAAAUGUUACAUAAUAUAUAUGUCAAAAAUAUUUCUAUACUAUUUGACUAAAUAUGUGACUUAAUUUAUAAUUAAAAUGUGUGUGAUAUAAUUAUUAAUGUAUAUUAUAAUAAUUGUUGUUUUCAUUUCAAAUGUCUAUUCAAUGUAUUAUGCAAAACCAUCUUCGAUGGAUUAGGAUUUUUUUUUUUGCAAAUAUUAAAAGUUUUCAUUAAAGAUAAUGAAAGGCAAUGUCCUGAAAUACAAUUGAAUAGGAAAAUAAAAAUACAGUGGGGUUGAUAUAUAUUGUGGUUUCCACUAUAUCGACCUUUUCCUAUAUAGCUAUUCUUCUUAGUGUUCUAACUAAGAAUUAAGCCUCAGGAGGGUUGUCUUUCAAACCUUCAUAGUAGUCAUUUCCAAUUGUAAAUCACAUUUUUAAAAAAGAUAUCAGUUUUAAAAGAUAUUCUGCAGUCUUUUUAUAGGAUUGAUAGGAACUGUAAUUGGAGAUAUUGAAAAAAUAGGGUGAGCUUCAGGUAAGAUAUCAAAAAUAAGAUAUCUUGUGAGAUAUUAAUCUAAGUUGUUCAUUUAUUUUUUAAGAAUAAUCACACUCAUUAAUAUAAUCACGCGAUUCAAGCAUCUCUUUCCUUUUAAUAUGGUAUCGAGAGCAUAAAUAGAAAAUUUUCUGUUACGAUCCUUUUCUUAUCUUCUGAUUCUUUGAUCAUCUUCGACCAUGGUUGAAACCACUACCCUUUCAAAACCUCUCAUUAAGAUCAAGGACACAACAACAGUCAAAAUCGACAGUUCGAACUUCUUUGCGUGAAAGGCGCAAACCAUCACGCAUCUUUCUGGAUACGAUCUCUUGCGGUUCAUCGAGAAGAUGCCCCCGUGGUACGUCAAGACCAGCUAUUGUUAGGCUGACUGCUAUCCGCCGUUGUUCUUCCUCAAGUCGGCGAAUACCACAUUGUAUGAAGUGUGGACUGCAUUGCAGAACCUAUUCAAUGUAAAAUCCAAAUCAUGAGCUCACUAUGUUGAAAAAGGGAGGAAUGUUUGUUGACAAGUACUUAGCAACUGUCUCCAAGAAACUGGUAGAUGAAGUUCGCGACAACGGACUAAAGAUCGAGGAUAGUGAAUUAGCUCUCAUCACACUCGAUGGAUUGGAUAACUCAUAUGACACGUUCGUCACGGUGGUAACAACGUCGGUUGGAGAGUUAUCAUUUUCUAAAAUAAAAGGCCUCUUGAUUCUUGAAGGCAUAUAAACGACGGCACAUGAGAGAUGUCAGGAUCAUUUCUUUUCCCUCUGCAAAUUUUUAUUAAAUCUGGAUAUCAACACAAGGCUGGAAACUCAUCUGGAAAUUUUUACAAGAUUGGAAAUUCAUCCCAAGUAGUUUGCCAAAUCUGUAUUAAGCCGAAUCACUCAACGAUUGAAUGUUACAAUCGUCGCAAUGAAUAUAAUUGGAUUUUUCCUCUUCCAAAUAAAUCAUAUGUAAAAGUUGUUUUCUUAUCAUUCAAGAAUCAAUCUGGUCGAAAAUCAUCGUAAUCGUAAGAUAAAGAAGUUACAAAGAGAUAAUGGCGGUGAGUUCUUGACACUCAAAUCAAUCUUAGAAGAAGCAAGUAUCUUUCACAGAAGAUCUUGCCCAUACGUUCACCAACAAAUGGAAAUUAUUAAACACAUGCAUCGAUACAUCGUAGAUGGAGGAAUUUCGCUAAUGACAAAAGCAAAUCUUCCCCAAAGCUUCUCUAACAUAUAUAAUUCUAAUGAUUACGGGAGAUAGACUAAAGGAAAAUCAGAUAAAAGAAUUGAUAAACGUCAAAUCUGCAAAGGAGCAGGGCAUGAGGCCAUUAUAUCUAUAUGCAUGUCCUAGCUAUAUAUAUAGUAGAUCUGAUCAUGCAAUUCAAGCUGAAUGCACUUCAUAUGACAGAGGAAGCUUUUGCUAGUGAAUGGCUUGCAUAUACAAAAGUUACAACCCACAUGACAUAUGAUGAAGGUAAAUUAGAUUACUCUUUACCUUACUGAUGAUACUCUUGGCCCACUGAAGUGUCCCAACAGGAACAUCACCGGACUAGAUCCAUCAGACUGAGCAUCUCUGGAUCCACCAUCGACCAAACCCCGACCCAACAGAGAGGCCCAAGAACAUCCCCAUGUCCACUGUCGGCCUGUUCCCAGCUUGGCCUACCAGAACGGUCCGAGAACAUUAAGGCCAUGCUAUGCCUUGGGAAUAGCAGAAGGUCUAUUAAUACCAGCCUCCUAGGAAGGAGGGACAUGUUACAUUUAUUACAUACAUGUGCUACACUAGAGAGAGAGAGAAAUAGACUGAAUCCUAAUCCGAUUGUGUAGGUCCAUUUCCGGCCAUACAUCAUCACUUAUAUUUGUGAAAAUGUGUAAAAGUAGAAAAUGGAAAUUAAUUAUCAAUUUCACAUAUUAGAAGUAAAAUUGUAAACUUAAAAGAUGAUACAAAAUUAUAUCUAAAAAAUGAGUUAGUGGUACCAAAUAUAAAAAGGAAUGUGCUUUCAAUAAACAAAUUAACAAAAGAUUAUCAUUUUGUAUUUGAAUUUGAUAAAAAUAAUUUUCUGAUUAAAGUUUUUCUAACGAAAAUAAUUAUAUUCAAGAGCAAGAGGAUCAAAGAUGAUUUGUACACUAUUAGAUCAGAAGAUUGUGAGUAUCACUCCCUAAAACUCGUUAAAGGUGAAUGUGAGAAGCCAGGGCAUUAUAGUUGAAAAAACUCUCUUCACACUAGCAGUGGCAAAUGCUUGUUUCAGAAGACGAUAAAAUAAGUAGUGAGAGUGAUGUGCUUAUUUUGUUUUACCAUCAUUUGAGCUAGCCCACUCACUACAAGAAAUAAGACCUUGUAUGGCGGUCUUUAGAUGACGGAAACCAUCUAAAGUGAUAGUCAGCGGAAAUCCGUCAUCUAAAGACCGCCAUCUAGGAAACCGCCAUUAAAACCCCAUAACCGCCAUCUAAAGACCGUCAUACAAGGUCUUUUUUUAUAUAGUGACGGUUGCCAACUACCUCUGCAUAUGCAAAGUCAGAUUUUGCAAUCAAAACAAAAGUAUCCAUUUGUUUUUUGAGCAUAUCUAAUACACUAUCAUUUGGUAAAUCUUGAGAGUAGGUCUACUUUUCGGCCAUACAUCAUCAGGAAUAUAAUAUUUUUUGCAUAACAUCUCAUCAUAACCCAAGAAAAAUAACCACAACCAUCUUCAUUUUACACCAACGAUCGGAAAUUAAAGAAAAUACUAUAUGAAUAGACGAUUUAUAAAUUAAAAUCUCUAUAUAUUUUCAAAGGAAGAUUCAGAUGCAAACACUACAUGAAAACACAUGGUGCAAACACUAUAUAAGAAACAUGAUGCAAACACUAUAUGAGAAACAUGAUGCAAACACUAUAUGAGAAACAUGAUGCAAACACUAUAUGAGAAACAUGAUGCAAACACUAUAUGAGAAACAUGAUGCAAACACUAUAUGAGAAACAUGAUGCAAACAGUCUAUCUGACCGUUGAUAUAAAACAGCUCUCGAGUGUGAUACUUGUGUCUACAUUAAAUAUGUUCAUUAAUAAACCUUGAAUAGUGGAUAAUGAAUAAUGUAUUGUCUUAUUUGAAGAACAUGACUCAGUCCACACAAUCUUUUGUUGUGUUGUGGACCAAUUGGGUUGGGUCUAAGAUUGAAAUUGAAAUUAGGGGAUGAUUCAUGGAUUGGUCAAAAGUCCUGAUCCGGUUAUAGAUCCGAAUAGAGGUAUAUCAAACCAAACGCAAGUUCACUAUUUGGAGUUUCGACCUCCUUUCCCUUUUUAAGAUUCGUUUGGUGAACUACGGUAGGGUUGAGAUGGCGGCUUUUGCGGAGGAAACAGAGGCCAAGAAUCAACUAGGGCAUAUCUCCGAAGGUGAUGCAUCUAUUGAGGAACGUGAGAGGCAGAAUCGCGAGCUUAAAGAAGGGCUUCAUCCCUUGAAGGUAAGUCGCUUUUUAUCUUCCUGUUCUUUCUUUUUCAGUUCUUACUGCCCUAGUUUUUCGACAACUUUUUUUAUUUUUUUAUUUCUACCUUUUUGUAUUUUAUGGGAUUUAUCUAUUUGGGUAUUUUGGGGGCAUUGUUUGUUAAAAAAUGUAUUAUGGAGUUUCUUUCCUCAUUGUAAAAAUUCUUUGUAUUUUUGUUUACAUUUGACGUGUUUGUAGAAUUUUUAUUUUGUAAGAGAGAGUAUGGAUAGAGAAAUUUGGCUACUUGGGAGAUUUAGGUCAAACUGUGCAUGCUAGUUUGUUAAGUUGGCUAGGCAGAUGCAGCGCUAUUGCGUCAGCUCCGACGAUCGCUGGAGAGGAUUAGAGGGAAAUUUACUGCUAAUUAAGGAAAGAAGAAAUUAACCAAAGAUUUUCUGUAUUCAUAUUUUAACUACCAUCGUUUAAAUAGCAAACAAACACACAAUGUUAGCCAUCAAUUAACACAUUAGUAAACCCAAACAGUUGUAAUUGAUUUUAAUAACCAGUAAGGCUAUUUUAGCAAUACUUAGGGAAUUAGGGAAAAUGUUUGCAACUUAGGAAACUUAGGGAAAUUACUGUAAAUGCCUUCCUUCUCCACACGACCGUACCCAUCAGAUGAUACAGUAGUCUUCGAGGUUCGCUGGAGAAUAGCGUGGUGGCUUCGGAGGGAGUUCGUCCGUAUCAGAAGAGAAGAUAAACCUAACAUAAGGUUAUGGAAAAUACUUAGUUAAGAGAAAGAUGAGAGUAUUAUGUUAUCGUCAAUUCAUGUUAAAAUGAACAUUACAAGCUUUUUCAUGCGGCGAGGCGAUGGUCAGGCUCGUAUAUGUGAGCUUUAAAAUUGUAGUAUAUAUUUUUUGAUUUCCCCCCCAAUAUAUUCCCUGUAUUUUUUAUGUAAUUCCCUGUAUAAAUUUCAUUCAAAAUAAAAUACUUAAAUUUAUAGUCUAAAAUCCAAAUUUCUAGUAGUGCUUAAAGUCUUAAACAACUUAUCAAAGAUUCAAAAUAUAUAAUGUAUUAGAUAUUAGUUAGAAGUAAAACAUCCAAUUAAUAAUUUCUAAUUCAUUUCCUUUUUUGCCACCAUCUUCGUCAUUCAAGUGUGGAUCCAUUAAAAAUGCAUCAUUAUCGUCUUCAGUAGAAGCUACCCUUGAUUUUGUUUGUUCCUAUUACUGGGUAAAUUGGUCGGGUUUAGCCGGAUCUGGAUACCCAUAAAUAGGCGCACCCUUCAAUAUGCAUGAGGGGAUUGCGCCUAAUCGCAUAUGUGCAAGUAUAGAAAAUCUUGGGACAUAAACACCUGGUUAAUUGUGAUAUUAUAAUAAUAAUAUGGACUUUCACUUUCACUUGUUCUUUUGAUCUUGAUAUUUGAAAAUUCGUGAUCAAUUUUACUUGGCAUGUAUUUCUUGAUUUUUUUAUUUCCAAAACCAAACUAGAAUUAAUGCUAGAAUUUAUGAGGAAGGGAAAGGAAUAUCACCAUGGUUUCUAACCCACCAAAUUAAAGGAAAAAGAGAAUACCAGAGUCGAAAACACUCCUUUGAAACUGUUUUUUAUUGUCGUGAAAGUGAACAUGAUUGAAUUAGUAUGGAAUUGAUGAUAAUCAUAUGGAAUUAUGGGUUCUCACUUCUCAUUUUUUUCAAGUCUAGAGAAUUGAUGUUGAGUUUUAAAAACUAGCAUCACGAGGUCACAACUUCUAUUCACAAUAAUGACAAGAUGUUGAAUUAGUAUUUUGCUGUUUUUAAGUUCACGAUGAUAGUAAAAUACAUCAUAUAAUAUAGAUUUUCACUUAUCAUUCCUUUUUUUGGAAUUUAUUUUGAAAUUUGAAAACUAGAUCCAUGAGUCAUGACUCAUGAGAUCACUUUGUUUUUCUUAAUAAUAAUUCAUGAUUUUUAAAAUAAUAAUCUUAUGCAUUGUUUAUUCUCUCAGCAUUCUUUUUAGAGUGGAUUUUGCAAUUUGAAAGCUAACCACUAGUAUCAUAAUUUCUUUCACUAACUUUUUCUCUCUGCUUGAUUUUCUUUUACCAGCAUAAGUUUGUAUUCUGGUAUACACGUCGUACACCAGGAACUAGAACACAAACACAAACAUCAUAUGAAGAUAAUAUCAAGAAGAUUAUAGAUUUCAGCACGGUAUGUUAAAUGAAAGGAAUAAAUUGUGCUAACGACUGCAUAGUGUUAUGUACGAUUUUUGUAGCAUAUGAUCUGAUAUUUCUCACAAUUUAAAGGUUGAAGCAUUUUGGGUAUGUUAUUGCCACUUGGCACACCCUUCAUCUUUGCCAAGCCCAACCGAUUUGCAUCUAUUCAAGGAUGGGAUUCGACCUUUGUGGGAGGUUUGUAGUUUUGUUAUUUAUCCUUUUAAUCAGAAUAUCACUGUAAAUACAUCUUUUAGUCAUCUAAUACAAGAUUACUUUUCAGGAUAAUGCCAAUCGUAGUGGUGGAAAGUGGAUAAUACGGUUCAAAAAGCCUAUCUCUGGUCGUUUUUGGGAGGAUCUGGUAUGCUGAAACUACUUUCCAUUGUCAGCAUGUCAACCAUGUGAUUUGCAUACAUGAAUUCUAUCUUUUCGAAAGGAGCUUGAGGUUAUGAAAUUGAUAAAUUAUUCACAUGAUAGGUACUUGCAUUAGUAGGUAAUCAACUAGAUUAUGGAGAAAAUAUUUGCGGUGCAGUCUUAAGUGUUCGGUUCAAUGAGGACAUCUUAAGUGUCUGGAACCGUAAUUCAUCUGAUCAUCAGGUUCGCCCUAUUCUAUUUUUUCACUCUUAAACAUUUCUUGCCAUCAUUCAUUCAUUCUCAUUUUUUUCACUUCAUUUAUCGUUAUCAGGCAGUGAUGGGCUUAAGAGACUCAAUAAAGAGACAUUUACAGCUUCCAAAUAGCUACAUUAUGGAAUACAAACCACACAAUGCUUCUCUUCGAGACCAUUCGUCAUAUCGGAACACAUGGCUCAGGGGUUGAAUUGUUUGCUGGAAUAUUCACCGAAUCUUCAAAAAUCCUAAACUGAAUUACCUUUCUAUGUGUUACUUUACUAUAGUUAUUCUAGGUAACUAACAUCCAUGUAUCACAAUUUUAUUUUUCUAUUGCAUUUACUCAUUGCUCGUCGAUCUUUUAUUUGGGUAAAAAAAUAAGUCAAAUCUUACACAAAUAAAUAAAUACUCUCUAAUUGUCUAAUUUCUAUAAUUCUAUACUUCGCUGUUGUUCCGGAGAUAAUGAAAGAGCAAUUAAGUCAUUCACAAUAUCAUUUAGUUGGUCUGCGUUCAGACUUGUGAUUGAAUCUUCAUCAAUCUUUUCUGCAAUGCGAGUGAGAUAGCUUUCUCCAAGUGCUUCCUUCAAGUUUAAUGUCAGUUGAUCUUCUUCAUCAUCAUCAUCUUCUGAUGAUACUCUGAGAUCCCAAACCUUGAAAAUAUUUUCAAUUGACUCAAUAUCCACCAAAAAAUCUGUUGGCACUUCAAGAUCAAGAUCAUUGUCCAUCUGUUCUGAACCUUCAAAAAUUGCAUAUUCUUCACCACGAUACCGAAUCCUUGUUGGGUCAUUAGUUUUCUCAUGGACAAAAUCAUAAUGGGCAGUAUCAUUGGUAUCCUCUUCAAUUGGAUCUAAAUCAUCUGACACUGGUAACUUGGUAGAAGAUGAUGCUUGGGAAGUAGAAUAAAUGGUCUCUUGUUUAUCAUCCAGAGAGGUGGUGUGUGUGGGGGUUUCAGCUGACAUGCUGAACAAAUUGGGGCUAUUUUCCAUGAGAGUAUCAAUCAGAAGAUUCAAACUAUCAUUGCCAACUGAAGCAUCUUCAUCAUCACAAACAAAACAUGAAUCUGCCCAUAGUGUGGCUUCUACUAGAGCUUGUGGUUCAAUAUUCUUGUUAUCAGGCCUCUCCAUAUCUCUCUCUGUGUUACAAUAAGAAACCAAUGUCAACAGCAUUCAACACAAAAAUGAAAUCACCCCAAUUCGAUUCAUUUCAAAAGAACCACAAAAAUAAGAGGCUUACCUAUUCCACAAAAUUUAGUAUUAUUGCCAACUGCCAAGUAUCAACUAUUAACAAGAAGAAUAAAGGGGAAAAUUAUAUUAGAAUCAAAGAAGAUAGAUGAAAUGAAUACAAUCAAUGCAUGCAUAAAAUUAGGAUUGCAAAAAAAAUUCAAGUUCUAGUUUGGAUUCGGUUCGUUAAUAUUCAGAUUUGGUUCGGCUCGGUUAGCUAAGAGAACCCUGUACAAACAUUUGAUAAAUUAAUAUUUUAUUAUUUUAUAUUUAUAUUUAUAUUAUAGACUAAUUUUAUAUUUUCAUAAAUCAUAUGAAAUCUUUUGUAAUUUACCUAUUAUAUUUAUAUUUUCAUAACUUAUUUAAAUAUUUUAUCAUUUACCCUUUAUUAAAUUUCAAUUAAAUUUUAAAACUAUUUGAUAAGUAGUCGGUUUAUUUUAAGAAACAAACCGAAUCUGGGAACUGAACAGUUCGGUUAACUAAACGAACCAAACCUAUUAUCCAAAUUUAGGUUCGUUUAAUUAAAAGAACCGAAGUGAAUACUUGGGUGUUCAGUUAGGCUUAAUUGACAUCCCUAGAUAUAAUCAAUCAAACAAACAAUCAUCAUCAAUCACAGAUUCUGGCACUAUCAACAGAUAAGUAUAAAAAUUGAAUACAGAGAAAAACAUAUUGAUUCAUCAUAAAAAAAUUUAAAUUAGGCAAUUAUUGCACAAAUUUAAGUACUAUGAAAUAUGAAUGAAGAGAAAGCUAUGGGUUGCAUCAUAUUCAGUCAAGAUAAGGGAAAUUAAUACAAAUAAAACCAUCAUAAACAAAAAAAACCUUGGACUUCAUAAAUUAGUAUAAACAAAAUGAGCACUAAUGAUAACAAUUAUAUCCAAAUCAAUCAAGAGAUUUGUACUGAAUAAAGACAUGGAUAAUAAAUCCAAUUUUAUAUCCGAAAUUCCAAAUACAUGGAUAAUAAUUAAUAAAUACACAUGUGUUGAAUGUUUGAUAGAAUCAUUUUAAAAAUCCUAGACUUGAAAAAUUACCAUAAAACGACCGAUGAUGAAACCCAAAAGAAAUCAUUAUCGAAAAAAAAAAGAUUGAUUCGUUACAUAGAUAGGGAUUUUGCAUCGAAAUCUAACAAAGAUCGAAACACCAUUUUCUUACAAAAAUACAAAUAGAAAGUCGAUUUCACCAUAUCAAACGGCGUAUACGUAGUAGUAGUGAAUAAACCAGAAAAGAAACCUUACCAAAUGUCGAAAACCAGUUGAAUAUGGAUUCAACGAGAAAGUAGCGGACGAACAGAUGUGGAUUUCAAAAAACCCUAAAUUUCGACUUGGCAAUGUAACAGAGAGAACUAAAUUAAAAAAAAUAAUUAUCCGGUACUCCGGUAGUUAGGACUUAGGAACAUAGGGGUGCAACCAGAAUCGAAAAUACCCAAAUCUGAUUCGAACCCAAACCUAUUGGGUGCGUGGAAAUUUGGAACCCAAUCGAUAGCUUUGAAUUUAGGAUUUUAGGUCAUACAUCUCUCCCAGCAUAAUAAAAAAAUACGGAUUAUUGGGUUGUCGGAUUUAAAUAUACGGAUUUUUGGGUUGUCGGAUCUAUAUAUAAGGAGGGAUCCGAAUGUGUUAUUAUAUGGAAGAACAAGUGAACAACGCAAUUUGGCCACGGUCACUCUUUCUCCCCCUUCCACCUUUCUCACUCCCAUUUCUCUCUCUCUCUCUCUCACUCUCUCUUUCUCUCCCUUGUAACUAACGGGAUCAAAUUGGAAGAAGCUUCGAAUCACAUCUGAUCAGGUAAUAAUUUUCGCGAUUCGUUGGAUUUCCGAUCGCAUUUCUUCCAUGUUGAUUGACUUCUACUGUAAAUGUUGGGGUUUUUCUUCAUCUGAAUUGAUUUGAUUUGUUUUUUUUGGUAAUUGACGAGAACAGAGUUUUUUUUUACGGUGUUUCGAUUUGAUCGGUGAUUUUAGCUGUUGUUUCUAGUGGCGAGAUUUAUGGUAUUGUUUAUUUCAGGUUAAUCAAUAAAGGUGGAUUUUUGAAAUAAAGCGGUGGCAAAUAACCAUGGUAAGAUGUUCUUUGCUUUGAAUUGUCUUUUUGCUGAGUUUUCUUCUUCUCUGUUUGGUACUGAAAUAGUAUAGUACAGUAGAUAUUUGUUAGAUUUGGGGUAAAUGUAGGAUUCUAUUUUUUUCUACUUGGGUUUAGGGUUUCUUCACAGCACUUAUGGCAGCAUGCAAGGAAUAUAUUUUUUAUACUUGGAUCACAUAAACUAAUGCACAUUAGUAGCAAAGAGAUAAAAAUAGAACAUUUACUAGGGAACCUUCGACAACUAAUGCACUCAUCAAGUUUUGAAAGGGAUUUGUUUUAUAACUAGGAUGCCAGUAAUGCUCUGUACUUCAUAGUUCGUAUAUUGAUAUUUAUUUGAACUGUAGGACAAUAGUGUGACAGCCAAAUGUUGGAAAAUGAAAGUUUUGUGCUUGUAUAUUGCUGUAAAUUUACUAUUUACCGUAUUAGUUACAGCCUUUUUUUUAAUAAAAUUAAUAUUCUAUUGAUAUAUAUAAUAGAAGGGCCAAAUCCAGAUACAAAUGAUAGGGAGGUAAACUAGAUAGCUUAUCAUCCUAAAUCUUAUAUCUCUCUAAUAGAAACAUUAAAUAGCUUAUGUCUGUUGAAUCAAGGUAUUGAACUCUCAGUCUAUCUUUUAAAUAGCUUAUGUCAAUUAGACCAUGGUUCAAUUAGAAGAGUCUACUAUGCAGGUUUGGGAGACCAACCUCCUGAGGCAAAGUACUUAGUUGUUAGAUCACUUAAUACAAUUUCUAUAUGAGAAAGAGUCGAUGGAUCAUUGUUAGAUAAAUAUCAGAUUAAAUUCAGACUUAUGUAAUAUAGGAGAUGUAAGGAGGUGAAGACUGCAAUUCAGCCAAGUCCGAUUAAUGCUAAAUUGUUUUAAAAAAAAUAAUGCUAAAUUAAUUGGACUGAAGUUAAUUAUUUCUUGGGAGUCUAACCCGUUAAAUAAUUAACCUACUAUUUAUAUGCUAUUUCAUGGUCUGUUAAAACUCUCUCGAUUCUUGAUUGGCACUAAUACAACUCUGUGGAUGUACACCUGUUCUUAGGGGUGGAACUGGAACCAUGCUAAUUUCUGUAUUUUUCCUUCUCUUCUUCCUUUUCUCUAGGUAGCUACUAAUCUACCAUUUGUGUGUGUGUGUCCUGAUUAGAUCAGAAUCUGAUCAGAAGAACAAUGUUCCAUUGGCAGUGUGAGUGUUGAUAACAACAGAUCUUGGGAGAUCAGAUCUAAAAGAUUAAAUCUAUGAUAACAAUCAUUCCAUCUCCCUACCAUUUCUCCUUUUUCUUUCAUAUUGUAUUUAGGGGCACUGCUCUGCAUUAUUAAUGAAAAACUUUACUUAUUGCAAAAAAAAGGUAUUGGACUCCCAAUACUUCAUCACACUAACCACAAUCUGUGAUAGAUGAGAUUUUUUGAAGACUUUAUCAUCGAAAUAAAUGUUAAUAUCUUUUAAAAUUAACUUAGAAUGAAUUUCUGGUGGCCUGAGUUUAUGUUGUUUGAAUCUUUUGUGACACACGGCAGACUAUAUUUGGAUGCUUUGAAGAAGUACUUCACCAAUCCUUAUGUCAUUCUGUAUAGCCACUAGUUUGGGAGAGUUGUUUUUUUCUCCAAAAUACGGCACUUAGAGUAUCUGUAAUGUCCAGCAGGACACUGUUAUAGUGUAAACUCAAAUGAAAAAUAAAGUCCCCAUUGUUUCCUUCUUUUCUACACAGAGUAGAUAAAAUGUUCGUGUUUGCAAAUUUCGCUGGUUGAACUUUUUGAAAAUUGAGAAAUUCCCAUCUCAUUCUCCAUAGUAUAAUGGAGAAUUUUGUAGUCAUCCUUGAAACACUGUUCUGCAGCUCUUCAUAAUGCUUCUCACAUUGCUGCAUGUUCCACCUUCGGUCCAAACUCCAAACAUUCUGUAGUUUUUUUUUAUCUCUAUAAUUGUUACAACAUACCAGAAUCUGCUGAAUUUUUGAUUUUCUGGAUAAUUGGUCUUUCACUCCUUCUAUAUGAUUGAGUCAUCCAUUUGAGGGGAUGGCUGUAUCUUCUAACUGCUGCUCCUUAACGUAUCGUUUCUUCAUCCAGUCAGUGAGAAAUAACUUUUCAAUAUUCCAUAUUCUUGCUACUCUCUUCACCGGUACAGAUCUAGCCAGAGCAAGAAAGCCCCUCGUCCCUAGGCCUUUCUUUUUCUUAGGAAUAAUCAUCUGGCUCCAAGGAGUAAACUUUCUACCAUCCCAAAUGAGAAUCGAUAGACUAUCUUUUUGAACUAGUAGUUAUUAGUUACAGGUUUGCAAUUUUUUUGAUUGUCCAUAACUUUAAAUAAAUAUCAGAAGAAAUUCAGAAUCAAUAAGAAAAACCUUUUUUAUUGUGAAUUUUAAUGAGAAACCAUCUUCGGUAAUGAAGUUUCUAUCAUGUUACAAUCGCCAUAUGUAUAUUUAUAACAAUUUUUUUUAAUGAAAUACGAGAUUUCACCCCUUCUUAGAUGUUGAAGAUUGGAAUUUUCUUUCUUUAUUGUUUAUACUCAUAUAUAAUUUUCUUUUUAUGUUUUUCAUUUUCUUACACUAUUUACAAGCCAUUACAUUUCUUCAUUACAGAAUUACAUUAUUGGAGCUUUUAAGUCACCUUACAAGAUUGGAUUCACAUUUUCUGAUGAGAAAACACGGAAGAAGGUAAGAAAUACAAAUUCUUGUUAGGAAAUUUAUGUGUUAAACAGCCAUAGGAGAAUUAUGUUUAUCGGGAGAGUGCUUAUUGAAAAUGGCAGUAAUCAAGAUUCAAGGACACCUUUCUCUCUUACAGACCAGAGGGCCAUAGGAAGAGUUGUUGUCAUCCAUUGGAGACUACUGUGCAAGUAUUUGGGAGACCAACCUUCUGAGGCAGCGUUUCUUGUUACUUUACUACUAAAAAAUAUAGCCAUAUAGGAAAGAGUUGAUGGGUUCCUACUCAUCUUUUUUUUUUGUAUCUCCAUUAUGUAUCUAGGGCACUGCUCUUUGGCUUGUUCAGUGUUUAUAUGUCCAUCUCAUACAUUUGGAUUAUGUCUAUCAUCUGGGACAUAAGCCUCUCCUUUAAAUCUGAAAAUUUCAGGAAGGAUUGCGAUUCUCAGUUGGAGAAUAACAUUGUGCACAUCUGGGAGACCAACCUUCUGAGGCUACUCAAUUAGUUAUUUUAUUUAAGUAAUAGUUGCAACAUUCUAUUAUUCUUGCCUUUUCAGCCUUCUCAGGAUUAGAGAUCAACUCUCAGAAGAGCUCAAUAAAAUUCUCUAAAAUCUGUAAAUAACGCCUUCUCCUUAUUCCUUAGAUUCCCAGUGUCCAAGUUACACAUACCCUAUCUAGGUCUACCAAUAACAGGGGAAAAGAAGACUUUCAGCCAAUGAUACAAACUCAUUCAACAAUUUCAACUAGUAGAAAAUAUGCUCUCUAGAUAGAGUAGCAAAUGUCUCACUUAUGGUGGGAGAAUUUAAUUUGUAAAUUGGAUCUUGUCAGACAAAUACACAUAGUAGGCACAAGGAAUUGCCUUACCUCCUCAGUGCAUAAAAUAUUUAAAAAUUGGCCUAUCAAUUUAUAUGGGAUGGUAGGAAAGGGGUACCUUAGUUCAAGAUGGUUCUACCAAAGGAAGAGGGAGGCCUAUGAGUAAGGAACCUAACCAUGAUUGCCAAUGCCAUCCCUUUAAAAAUAAGCAACUCAAAAUCUUUGAAAUGCUCAAUACAUGGGGGAUCCAAGUCCAAGCCACUUGCCUCCUCUGUGGGAAGAGGAUGAAUCACUUAGUCACUUAUUCUUCAAUUGCAAUUACACAAGAAUACUACUGAAACUCUCUGAAUUUCUUAACAAUGUGCCCUUUAGAAAAUAUCAAAUUCACUAGUCUCAACCCUCACACAUUCAAACAUUAGACUGGGAGAUGUAAUUGAAGCUUACCAGAAAUUGACACAUUAAUCUCCUCCACGGGGUCUCCAUUGGAACACACUAGAAGGGCUCACCUGGCACAUCUGGCUUGAAAGGAACAGAAGGCUACGCCAACACACUCUAAGGCCUCCAGACUCUCUUUCUAUUAGUGAUAUGAUAUGAUACGAUACUAAUUAGUGAUAUGAUAUAUGUUAUUGUAGUAUUAAUCAUAUCAUAUCAUAUAUAUGAUACGAUACUAAUCAUAGUUUUUCAUGCGACGCCUAGGCGUCGCAUAGGCGACCAUGCGCAUGUAGGCGUUUGCCUUCAUGCGCUGGAACGGGUUAGACGGGUCCGGGUCAGAUCUGACCCGGACCCGCCUAACCCAAUAGGUUUGUUUUAUUUUAAUUUUUUAAAAAAAAAUUAAAUAUAAGGCCCAAUCACUCAUUUAAGACCCAUUUAAAUGACUUGUCAUUUAAAUAAGAGGUUGAGGGUUUUAAAAAACCCUAACCUCUUUUCUUUCUUGUUUUUUGCACCUUUCUAACCAUAAAUUCAUAGAAGUCUUAUAAUCUAUGUAUUUAAAUUUUAAAUUUUAGAUUAAUAGGUCUAUUGCUUUGUAUUAGUAAUUUCAGGUUUUAAAAUUUAUGCAUAUAUUUUUUUAAAUGUUUCUGAAUUUACCCAUAUUUUUUAGCAAAUAUAUAUAAGUUUAGGGUAAAUUUGCAAAAUUUACCCUAUUUUCAGGCGACCGCCUAGGCGUCGCCUAAAGUGCCUAGGUGGCCAUGCGGUCAUGGCCAUCGUAUGACCGCAUGGUCGCCUAAAAAACCUUGAUACUAAUUAAUGAUAUGAUAUAUGUUAUUAUAGUAUUAAGUUGUAUGUAUAUGAUACUCAUUGGGAAUGAAAAGGCAUCGAGUAUCUCUCCCACUUAUUUACAUCUCUUAUACUUUCGAACAUGAAUUGGUUGUGGUUCGCAAAUGGAGACUACCAUGCAGAUUUGGGAGACUAACCUUCUAAGGCAAAACUCUUAGUUACUUGACUACUAACUACUAACUUACUAAGAGUACACACUUUUUUUAUCCGAGUAAAUUUGUUCAUUAAUAAAAAUGAGGGGCAAUGCCCUUGUAUAAAUUGAAGAUAAAAUAGAUGGGAAUGAGCUAGGUUCAUAGACGCUUUUUUAUUAGCAAUAACAACUAGCUGUGUAGCCUCAGGAGCAACAACCCUUUUUGAAAUCCUCAAAUCCGAAGGAGAGUCUGAUGUUCUUGAUGUGCUAAGGGUACAAGAUAUAUAGGAGAAGGUCGAUGGUGUGGGAAACUAAUCUAUCCCUCCCACCACAUUUUAUUUUCUCUUCUACUUUGUAAUUUCAGGGUAUCACCCUUCAUUAAUAUUAAUGAAAUUUUUUACUGUUUGGAAAAAAAAAUUACUAGUUGCAAGACUGUAUAGGAAAGUAUCAAGAGUCAAGGCUCAUCUCCCUAUCAUCUAUCUUUUCUUUCUCCAUUUUGUAAUCAUGGGCAUUGCCUAUCAUUAUUAUGAAUGAGAAGCUUUAAUUUUAUAAUAAAUAAAUAAAUAAAUUUGAGAGCAAUAUAUCAUUAUAAUUUUAAAUAGUGACCCAUUUUGCUCGAAAUCCUUGAAUAACUAACUAAUCCAGAAAAACUGACACACGAAAAAAAAUCUUCAUAUUUUUGCAGGUUUCUAUAAAGAAUGAAGACGGUCAAACUUCUAAGAUUCCACUUUUCCAAAGUAAAGAAACCAUUGCAGGAGAAGUAAUCUUUCUUUAUUCUUUAUGUGGAUAACUGAAUAUUUAUAAUUUUAAAGAAGCUUAUUUCUGGUUUCUGCAACUUUUCAAAUUAGAUGAAGACUAAUAUUGCUGCAUAAUAAUCUUAAUAUUACUUUGCAGGUUUCUAUUGAACCUAUUUAUGGGAAAAAAGUUGAACAUACUGGAAUCAAAAUUGAGUUCCUUGGGCAAAUAGGUAUACUUAAUCUAUCCAGAUAACUUAGAUCUUACAUCCCAUCAAGGAGUUAAAUGAUGGUUUCAUCUUUGGGUUUUAUCCCUUCGAAUUAGGAAACAUAUAGCAUGUAUAGGUAUAAACGUAUCAGUAUGUAAGUUUCUAACAUUAUAAAAUCCAUAUAAAUCUUCAAAUUUCAACUUUGAAGUAAGAUAAACCAGUAUUACUAUACAUCUAGAAAUAAUUAGAUUUAUAGUUCACCGUAUCGUAUUACUCGCAGUCUCAUAUAAUAUAAGUAUAAAUAAAGUAUAAAUUUGAAUUUUUGAAAUACCUAAUACCGUCAUAUAUUGGGUAGUCUACUAGUCUGGCUGAUAAUUCCAUUAUUUUUUAUUAUAUUAAUUUUAAAUUGCAUAUAAUUUUCUAAUAAAUAUGGUACAGAAUUUUAUUUCUGAGAAGGCAAAUAUAAUAAAAGUAUUAAUUGAUAAAUAGAUUAUACAUGUAAAUCUAGUUUAACAAAUCAAGAAUUGUAAAAAAAGUAGAAUAAUUUAAAAUUGAUCUCUGCAAAUGCUGUGUUCUCCAAAAAUACCGACAGUACUCUAAAAAGGUAAAUAUCAUGACGUAUCUCUAUUCUCUAAUAUUUCUACAUAAGCUUGAUUGAUUUUUUUUGGUGAUUUCUGACAAUGCAUUCUGGUGAUUUUUCCCCUAAAUGAUUGAUAUUUCUCUCAUAUAUAUAAUUGUAAAUGCAUUGGUCAAAUAUUUUUUAAGGGCAGUGCAUAUGAUUGUCAUUGCAAAGUCUGACUGUCUGAUAUCUAUAUCUUGCAGAGGUAUACAUUGACAAAAACACCUUCUACGAUUUCACAUCUCUUGGUGAGUUGAUAUUUAUGAACAUUUCAGAGAGUUAUGUUUUUUAUAAUUUUACUAUUAGUUAUUUUUAUGGUUUUCCAUAUUUCUGCCCUUGAGAAAAGCUCAGCUUCCUGCUUUUUAUUCAUCUUUUUUCUAUGUUUACUGUAAUAGUCAUUUAUAAAUGUAUUGUCAGCAACUCAUGACGUUGUUCACCUUGUUUCGACAAUGUUAAUCAAUCUUGUAAUUAAUUUCAAUGUUGAAUAUUUAUGAUAAAGGACCAUAAGAUUUUACGAUAAACAUGAAUAAUACAAUAAUAUUACGAUUGUAGAUAAAGCUCUUUUUUUUUGAGUGUCAGUAUUCAAUAGUUGUUCAUUAAUAUUUUUUUAUUAAUGCUUAUAUUUAAUUAUUUUGUUUCAUUCAUUUAACUGUAUUUAUAUAAGCAACUCUGCCUUUGUCUAUUUAAUUUAGAACUGAAGUAGAUUUUUUUCCAUACUAUCCAUCAACUUAUUUAUAUGCAGUUCGUGAGUUGGAUGUGCCUGGUGAAUUAUAUGACAAGAAAACAUAUCCCUUUGAGUUUUCCACUGUUGAAAUGCCAUAUGAAUCGUAUAGUGGCGUGAAUGUAAAACUUAGGUAUGCUUAGAUAUUGCAGCUUCAUUUUACAAAAUUUUAAUCUUAAAAUACAAUUUUAUUGCAUGUUUAGAAUGUAAUAACCCACAGAUUAUGUUCCUGUAGUUAGAUGCAUUUAACUAAGUAAAAUAAUUACUUCAGUUUAAACGAAAUCUAGAGAGAAUGGAAAGGAAGGAAUUAUUUAAGUUUUAAUAAUUUGAUUAGUCCAAUUAGUUAAUGUUAAUGAUUAGCCAAUUAAGAUUUAAGAAGAUUGAGUCAACUAAACUGAUAGAAUUAGUAAGAUGUCCAAGUUAACUCAUCUCUCACAACCAAACAACCUUCAUUGAAGGCAGGCUUAUCUCGGAUAAUACCAUUUUCGCAGAUGAGAUGGUUUACGGGUUUGGUAGGAGAACCCCAAAAGGUGCUGCCUGAGCAUUGAUCUCAGAAUGGCCUUUGAUACUGUCAAAUGGGAGGCUAUCAUCUCUACCCAGAAGACAUGAUUUCUCUCCACUAUUUUGCAAAAUAGUUCUGGAAUUGUAUCUCCUAUUCUCCUCUGCUACCUUCUCAGCCUUAGUUGAAGGAUCCCCCAUCUCACCACCCUUCAAAAACCACAAAGGAAUCAGGCAAGGUGAUGGUGAUGGAUAGAAAGGGAAGGAACAAGAAACUGGAUACCUACCGAGUGAAUGAAGUAAACAAUAACAAGAGUUCCUGCACUUUUUCUAAGAUCUUUGAGAAGAGUAGGAGACUGACUGAGUCUCUAGUUUUUCAUUACUUGAUACCAUAAUUAGUAGGAAUGUGUGAUCGGAUAUAAUCUCGUCACCCUAUUUUAUUUUAAUGUAGCCUCCAUAUGUACUUGGGACACUGCCCCUCAUUUCAUAAUGAAAAAAUUUAAUUGCAUCAAUUUUUUAAAUUAAUUACCAUGAUUAAUUUAAGUAAUUCCUCUAAUUCUAUUAUUGAAUUAAUGCUAGUUGGUUGGCUCAUUUGGCUCAAUCACCUUAUUACUUUUAAUCAUUCUUUAAUUAAUCAUUUAUAUAGAAGAUUCCAUUUAUAUAACUUGAUUUAAAUAAAAAAAAUCUUAUUAGCCUUUGCUCGAGUCAACUGUAUUUGGCACAAUCUUCUUAAUUGAUUAAAAUCAUUAACAUUGACUAAUUGACUAAAUUUCCAUCCCCUCCAGGUUUCUUUUUAACUGAAGUAAUUAUUUUACUUGUUAAAUGCAUCUAACUGUGUGAACUUAUUUCAUGGAUUAUUAGAUUCUCCUCACUUAAAAAAAAUCAUCUUCAAAAAUACCUUAGAGUAUUUACCGAAAAGUUCUGAUAGUUUUUCUGUAUUUUACAAUCUAAAUUCCAAUGUUGCCUCGCCGGGUCUGUGGUAUUUUUCCAUUGGAUUUUCACAAUGGAGAUCGUCCUUCCUAGGAGAUUAGCAAAUCGAUAUCCAUUUCUGAAUGAUGGCUGUGUUUUCUGUCCAAUAUAAGGGUAAUUCACAUGGUCAUUCAUAGAGUUCCUCAAAUGGUGUCAUUCAUAUGUUUGCUUAUGGUAGCUGUUGUUGUAAGUAAAUUAUGCCUGCUGUAGUUAUUUCUCCCAACCUCCCUUGAAAUUUAUAGCACAGACUCGUAACAAACUAACAAUAUCCUUCAAUAUUUGGAUUUUCCUUUCAGUCUAGGGGAGGAAGGUGGUACUUAGUUUGAGUUUUGAGCCCAUGGCUUCCUGGAAGUUUUCCCAGAAACAUGGGAUAAAUCUUGGAUCUCUGUUCGAGAUGAUGGAUAUUGGAACCCCAUGCAACCUUACGAUCUCUUUCAUGUAUUUCGUCACCAUUUCUUCUAGCAUGUAUCCUACGUGAUAUGGAAUGAAGUGAGAUGUCUUGGUCAGCCUUGGCAAGUCUGUCUACCACUACCUAAAUAGAGUCAUUUUUCUUCUUGCUUUUGAUAAGUCUACUAUGAAGUCCAUGGUUAUAUGUUUCCACUUCCAUUUCGGCGAUUCUAUUAGCUGCAUUAAUCCUAUGCUCCACCUUUACCUAUUGGCGCACUAUACAAUCUGUCCACAUGCUUAGUUAUCCCUCUUUUCAUGUCUCUCCAGUCUCCACCAAAAGUCAUGGUGGGUAGUGUUAUAAAUCUCUAUGCUUUCCAAGUGGUUGUUGUAGAUGGAGCGUUGUGCUACUUCCAAGAUUUCAUUCCUGAUUUCAGGGACUGGAGGUACCCAUAAUUUUCCCAAUAAUCAAACUCCCUCUUUCUCCAUGUAUGUUAUGUUUUUGUCUAUACCUGAGGUUGCCCAAAGCUAUUGAGAAAAUAAACUGCAUUGGAUAUAAAUUUUGUAAAAUAAUCACAUUUAAAAUAUUUUUGGAAUUUGCAGGUACAUUUUAAAAUUAACAAUUAGUCGCCCUUACAUAAACAACAUUGUGGAGCUCCAGGAGAUUUGGGUAAAAUAUGUUAAUACUUCUACAGAUCUACUGUACUUUCAUUUUUUAGCUCAAGUUAGUAAAUUGCACAUGAUUGGAAUUGAAAAUUACAAAUUUACAACCAUUGCAAAAUAUAAAAUUACAAAUCAAUAUAUAUUUUUAUUGACUUUCUCUAUCUGACAAGGUUAAGUAGAACGAAUAUACUAUUAUAAGUUUUUGAAAUUAUUUUUGCAUACUUAUGCAUGUAUUCUUUUCUAGGUCUGCUUUCUUAACUGUUCAAAUGACAAAGGCUAAAUAUAAAUUAGUAAUAUCGAUGGUUUAUUUUUUACUUUGCCGCUAUGUGGAAUUACUGCUUUUUUUAUUGAUAGUCUGUAGUUAAUGGGUCAUUCCUUCCAAAGAUAUGAUUGUGUAAAUAUAAGAACACAAAAGUAAAUAAUGGGAGAGAUGACUCAAUCCCUUUUCCAUUAGCUAUUGGUAGUAUUAUAUACACAAUUAGAAUAACCAAUUCAGUUAUUCUUGUUUUAUCUCUGUACCAGGUCCGCAACUAUACUGAAUUACCAACCAUUAACAACAGCAUUAAGGUUUGUGAACAUUACCAGCUGCAUAUGCUGUUUUGACUUUGAAUAUAAGAGUUUAUGGUGUUUGUUCUGCAGAUGGAAGUUGGAAUUGAAGACUGCCUUCACAUUGAAUUUGAGUACAACAAAAGCAAGUGAGUUCCGUUUGCACAAUCAACUGUGCAUUACAGUUCUCGUUAUGUAAUAUAACAAUUAAUGAAAUUCACAUAUUUUACAAUGCAAAAAUGAACCUGUAGGUAUCAUUUGCAGGAUGUGAUCAUCGGCAAGAUAUACUUUCUUCUGGUCAGAAUCAAAAUAAAAAACAUGGAGCUUGAGAUUAGACGUCGUGAGGCAAUUGGAUCCGGUUCGAACACCUUAGUUCUGACACAAACCCUUGCAACAUUUGAGUUGAUGGAUGGCGCCCCAGUCCGAGGUUGAUAGAUAAUAAAAUAUGGAUGUGUUUGCUUUCUGUCUAACCAAAUCUUUACAAGUUAAAAUUAUUUUUUUACAGGUGAGUCAAUCCCAAUCAGACUGUUUCUCAGCCCCUAUGAACUGACACCCACACAUCGAAACAUAAACAAUAAAUUCAAUGUGAAGUACUACUUAAACCUUGUUCUCGUCGAUGAAGAAGAUAGACGUUAUUUCAAGCAGCAAGAAGUCACAUUUUACCGCCUUCUCGAAGAUUCUCAAGAGUCUAACCCUACUACUGAGCAAACAUUUUAAAUAAUAAUCUAAAUUCCAAAAUUUCGAAACCUUUAAAUCCUGCAGAAUGCACCAACUCAUCAUUUAAAAGUUAGAAUUUCUUUUUGCUUAGAUUUCUCUUAGUUUUACAAAGAACUCUACUUUUAAAAAUAUGUUUUUUACAACAGUUUUUUUUUGUUCUUGUUGAAUCUGUAGAUUGUGUGGAAAGCAAGAAACCCAUAAAACUCACUUUAUUGUAUGCACUAGCACCACCACCAUGUGAUGAAGGAAUUUGCAUCAUCUUUUCAGCAUUGUUUUAUUAAUCUGGAUAGAUGGAAGAUUGUUUGGAAAGCAAAAUAAAUUGUGGAAAAUCUUUAUUUAACUUUUGCCCAUCUUCAAACUUUGUUACCAUUUAAUUGAUGAUCUCCCUCAUCUUUCUUUACUCUGUCUGAUACCAUGUGAUUUUUAUUUCUUUUUGUGCAUGAUGAUUUGCUCUCAUAUCAUGAUAUUACACUCACUAGUCACUAAAUGUCUUUCGAUACAAAUUUUCAAAGUGCAAAAAAAUCACAAGGAUAAGGGUGCAUGUGCAUAAAAAAUACCCCCACAUAAGGAUAACCGGAGGGUCCGGCCAAAACAUCCACAGCAGGUGCAAUAAGCUGAAGAGUCAGUCAGGCAGGCAGCAUUGAAUGAAAAAUCUCUUAAAUCUCUCCCCUCCCUUCCUUCGACAUGUCUGUAAUCUGCAAAAUCUAUUUUAAAGAAUUUUUGGGUCUUCUCAUUUGAUCAGCGCAAAUCCUUUUCUCAGACAUUAUAACUCCGAUGUUCCGUAAAAAAUGGCAAAGAAGUCUGCAUUUCUUGUUCUUAUUUUUUCUCACAACAUUAUCAGCAGGUAUGUGAAUUUAUUUCUAGGGUUGAUCUUGAUGAGAAUAUGGAUCUUGUUCUUAUAAUAUUUUUUCCCCUUCCGUCCACCUAUCCAAAAAAUCAGAUGCAUUUAUUGGAGUGAAUAUCAGGACUGGUAUCACAAGAUCACCAUCGGUCUCUGAUACCAUGUCCCUUCUUGAAGCUCGAAAUAUCACCCACAUUCGGUUGUUCGACCCUGAUCAUAAUAUUCUUACCGCUUUGGCAAACACUGGUAUUCAAGUCAUUGUUGGAGUUCCAAAUGAUCAGAUUCCAUUUAUUGGAAAAUCUCGAUUCAGAGCUGCAAAUUGGAUCAAACAAAAUAUCGCAAUCUUCAUUCCUGCAACUAACAUCACACACAUUGCAGUGGGUAACGAGAUUCUCACCAUGAUACCAAACGCCACGCUUGUUUUACUCCAUGCUAUGAAAUUCCUCCAUUAUGGUCUUGUUUCGGCUAAUCUUAACUUUCAGGUGAAAAUAUCAACUCCACAAUCUACCACUGACUUGAUCUCUGAUAUAUUUCCUCCAUCAACUGCCUUCUUCAAUUCAUCUUGGAAUCACAUCACACGAAAAUUACUUAGGUUUAUGAAGAACACAAAUUCUCCAUUCAUGUUGAAUGUUCAUCCUUAUUAUGAGUAUACACGAAGCAAUGGUAUUUUCCCAUUGGAGUAUGCGAUUUUCGAGCCACUUGCUCUAGGUAAAAGGGUAGUCGAUCCAAACACGAAUAUACUCUAUGAAAACAUGUUUGUGGCCAUGGUUGAUGCUGUCUAUUACUCUAUGUGUGCACUUAAAUUUUGUGAAAUUCCCAUUCUUGUCACCGAAACCGGUUGGCCCUGGGCUAGUGACACAGAUGAUUCGGCUGCCACAAUUAACAAUGCAUUGAGGUAUAACACCAAUCUUAUCCUUCGUGUUCUAAACAACAUAGGGACGCCAAUCCGUCCUGAGAACCCUGUCAAUGCAUAUAUCUAUGAACUUUUCAACAAAGAUCAACGAUUCGAAACAGUCUCCAAAAAGAGUUGGGGGAUUUUCUUUCCUAACGGAACAUCGGUGUAUGAUUUAAAUUUUAUAAAGCUGGAUGGGUAUAGAGGAAACUCAUCAGAGGUAGAUGGGUUGUUUUGUAUCGCAUAUCCAAGCAUUGGAGCUAAAACACUUGCGGCAGGUUUGAAUUGGGCUUGUGAUUCUGGUGGUGCUAAUUGUGACGCGAUUCAACCAGGAAAACCUUGCUAUCAGGAGGACUUGGUUGCCCUGGCUUCUUAUGCUUAUAAUGAUUACUAUCAUAGAACUCGGGCUUCUGGUGGAACUUGUAGUUUUGGUGAUACAGCUUUUCUUACUAAUAAGGAUCCAAGUAAGUGAAAUUUGAUUUUUUUCCCUUCCAUUUUUCGCGAUUUCCGUAAUUCUAAUUAAAUUCUCAAACAGUAAGUAACACUUAACCUUAAACCCUGAAUAAACCACAUGAUUUUUUCUAUUUUUGCAACUUAUAUCAUUCUAAAUUAAUCUUAGGUAGCAAAACAGAUAAAUUGCAUUAUAUAACAAAGAAAAUCCCAAAAUAUGAGCAAUAAUAAGUUCAUUGAUUUCUCUUUUAAUCUAACAGAACCUUAAAUCUGUUUUUCAUGUUGUAGGUCAUGGAUUAUGUAUUUUUGCAGGAAGGUAAAUCAAUUAUUGAUUUUCUAACCUCAACUGUUAGUUCUCUAUAUGAUUUUCUAAUCUGUUAUUUCUUUCUUCAACAGCACGCUAUCAAACACAACUAAUAGUACAUUACAUACUAUCGCUGUCGAACCUAAAAGUUCUGGAAUAAAUAGCGUUUUGAUUCUUAAUGGUAGUCGAAUGAUCGUUUAUAUAGCAAUUGUAGGAAUUUUGCUUGCCAUGGUUUAAAUCUCAACCAUCCACACAAUUUUGUAAUUAAUUUGUAUAUUGAAAUGAGCAUGUUCUAGAUUUUUGCUAAUUAAUAUUAGUUUAAGCCAAUCUCUCUUAAUCUUUAGAAAAACCUUAUUUGAAUCGAGUUCUUUGUUUAUUACCAGGAGAAAAAAGCCGUGUGAUAUAUCAUCGCGGAAAAAUAUCAAAUAAAACCUGAAUUUUAAUUUGUUACCAAUCCAGUCAAUCCCUCACAUUACUUCUUGAUUACUUACAUGCUCAUCCCAUUCAAUUUAACAACUUCUAAUAAUGCAUAUAACCCAAAUGACCCACACCCAUUUUAAAAGCUAAAGUUGAUAAUCCAAAGAGAGAUUAAUCAUGGAUAUAAGCAGACAGACAUAAGUAGACAACUAAGGCAAGUACCUAUCAAUGAAUGAUUAAUUAAAUUUUAGGUAAAUGUCUUUUUCAUCUUUUAAAUUUUAGGUGAAUGGAGGGUACAUCUCUACAGAUGUAAAGUUGUCAACUUUCAGAUGAUAUAUCAGAGUCACAUAGUAUAUUGUCGGAUAAAUUUAAGUGAAAAUAUACAAAGUAAUAUUCGAAUCUUGGACCAGUAAGCCAACCUUACUUUGUAAGUCUUCCUUCCACACUUCCACCAUUAUAUCAUAAUCCAUCAAAUAAAUGAAAGUAGGUAAUUAUCUAAUUAUUUAUGCAUCCAAUAACAACAAAACAAUUGGCUACAUUAAUGAUUAGCGUCGGUCAAAAUAGUUCAGUCUAUUGAUUAGCCACCCACCAAUUUUUUCGUUUUCUAUUGCCUUGGAUUUUAAUUCAUAAUCAAAUAUGGUAUGAUCCUUCAAAUUUUAAUUACAUUUUCCAUAUCAUUAAAAAAAAUUGGUAUCAGAGUUCACCUAAUAUAUCAUUCUAAAUUAAACUCAUCAAUAUAUAUAUAUAUAUGGUUCGAAAAAAUACUUUUCACUCUUUGUAAAUGAUUGCUAAGUCUGUUAAAUAUGUCGCUUCAAAGGUAAUCAAAGGAGAAAGUGAAUCACUUCAUGCAUCAAAAUUUAUGUAAAGGAAGAAGAAUUGAAGAACAAGUUAUCCUUAGUAUCAUUAGUCUUAAUUUAAUUAGUUUGAUUAGGUUUGGAUGAGAUAGACAUAAAUGAUCUUAUGAAUUCUCUCAUCAAUCAAACAUUAAUUCAAAUGAUCAAGUAACUAUUAAGGUUUAAUUCUGAUAUAUAAUUCAAAAUUCGAGUCUCGUUGUGUACUUAUAUAUUAUCUGGAAGUAGAUCCUGAGUGAUUAAAAAAAGAGAUCAAAUUAAUUAGGUCACAUUGCCACUGAGAUAGGACCAUAUGAUAUUCCUUCACUCUUUUCCUACCACAUGGAGUGUUGUCUCUAAUUUAGUAAUAGCAGCAGAGUAGUAGUAGAAGAAGAAGAAGAACAACAACAAUAAGAAGGAGGAGAAGUGACCGGCAGAAACUAGAGAUCGGAGAUGGGACAGCUUGCACCAAUAAAAGAGGAACCAGUAGAUGAGGAAGAUGGAGCAAAGAAGAUGAAAAGAUUAUCAACAAUAAAGAAGAAAAUGGCAUGGACAAAAUGGCAAUGGAUAAAAACACGUCUAUCACUAAUCUCAUCACCUAAGAAACCCAACAACAUCAAGAUACUUCUAAGUGUUCUUGGAUGUCCACUCUCCCCAAUCUCAACUCCUCACCCUUCUUCUUCAUCUUCUUUACUCGUCCCGUUAAAAGUACGUCAACCAAUAUCUAUCUAUCUAUCUGUUUGUAUAUGAAUAUGUAAUGUUAACUCCGGCGUUCGAUCUGGUGGUGGCAAUUUCAGGGGAUAUCAUCAAAGGCUCAGUACAUAAUUCAGCAAUUCCGAGGAGUGACUCAGAUGGGUAAGUCAUUGAAGAGCCUGUAUGCGUCGGGGAACGUGGAGGUGUCUAUGGUGAAGACUGCGGAGGAAACAGAGGAGGAGGAGGAUCAAAGGUGGAUGAGUGAGAGAGGGAGGUUUGUGGUUUGGGAGAUGGAUCCUGGUAUGUGGUUGAUUGAGCUUGUUGUUUCUGGAUGGAAGAUUGUGGCUGGAAGUGAUGGAAAUACUGCGUGGAGAAAUACACCGUGGAUUGGUACUCAUGCUGCUCCCGGCGGUGUUAGACCUCUCCGACGAGCUCUUCAGGUGAAUCGAAUCGAAUCUCUUUUAUUUUAUUUUUGCUCUUGGAGGUUUUCUCACGUUAUGAUUAUCUUCUUUGCUUGUUUUUGCAGUUGUUUACUUUUUCUUAUUUAUUUAUUUAAAUGAUUCUUUAUUUGAUUUUAUUAAUUUAAGAUUUAAAAAAUAAGAGAAUGAUGAGAUGUGAUCGAGUGAUGUUAGUCUGAAAAUGGCUGGAUCGCACAGAUCGCAUGAGUUAAGAAUUAAUUUCAAUUUAAAAUAAACUUAAAUUCUAUCAUCUAAUUUUUCAUCUUUUAAAUCCUAAGGAUUUUUCAUAAUAUAUAUUCAAGUAGGGUGUCAAAAAGUCAGUUGAGUUUUUGCUUAUAGAGUCGGGUUCGAACUCGGAUCAUUAAAGAAUUAUACAGUCGGCUCGUUAAAAAAAAAUUUCAAGCACAAGCUCGGCAGAUUCGGGCUCAAGCUCGCGAGCUCAGGCUCGACUCGAGCUCAGCUUAUCGAAAAAUAUUUAUAUAUGUUAUAUAUUUUUUUUUUUAGAUUUAAAUUUUUAUUUAAGUUUCCUUAUAAUUUAUUCAAUAGUCCUUAUCAAUUAAUAUCUAUAUUUUAUUUAAUUUUUAAAAAUCUUUUAACAAGCUCCUUGGGCUCAUAAGUUCGAGCAUAACGAGCAGACCCCAAACAAGUCAGUCGAGUCAAACUUUAGUUGACACUUUAUAUUUAAGCAAAAUAUGCAUAACUAAUUGAUAAUAAUAUACAACUAAUGUGAAUUCAACAACCAAGAACAAACUCAUAUAACCAUGUUCUAGCUAACAUGCUCAGUCAAAUUAGAUUAACUAAAGAAGCACACUGUGUGUGUGGACUUAAUAUUGUUUUUCUAAUGCCAUUAUUUUUUUCAAUUAUUCAUCCAAACUUUUCAAAUUCAAUCAAAUAAUAAUAUAGAACAACAUAAACAUUGUUUUCAACAUUUCAUAAUAGUAGAUUCAGAUUCUCACUUAUAAUUAGAUAUCAAGUUUUCUUUUAUAAACAAAAUAUUUCUCAUUCCUUUCUUACAAACAUUGUUUUUUUUCCACUUGAAUUAGGGAUUGAAUCCUUCAACCAUAACAUCUGUAUUCUCAACAUCACAAUACAUGGGUGAGAAAGAAAUGGAUGGUCAAGAUUGCUUCGUCUUACUAUUAGAAGCUGAUCAACCUACAUUACUUGCAAGAAGCGACCACGCGGCAAAGAUCAUCAAGCACAUAAUGAUAGGUUAUUUUAGCCAAACCACUGGACUCUUGGUACAUUUAGAUGAUCUCCAAUUGACUCGAAUUCAAGUCUCAGCAAGUGUUCAACCCAUAUUUUGGGAAACCACCAUAAACUCCCAAAUCAGAGACUACAAACCAGUAGAACAUGGCAUAUUGGUCGCACACUCUGGUAGAUCGAUUGUCCGUUUGGCUAAGAUUCAACAAGGAAUUGAAAAACAACACCAAGAGACAACAACCAUGGAAGAAGAGUGGACCAUACACGACAUCGCAUUUGACAUCCCAGGUCUCUCUAGCGACUAUUUCAUCCCACCAGAAGAAGUUGCCAAAUAAACAUCUUAGAAACCAAAAUAAUUUUCUCACGUAAUAAGUUAUGAUCAUAUACACUAACUACUAUGUGAACUUUAAUAUAAGAAAAAUAAGAGAGAUAAUAAUUUAUAAUCUUGUAUAAUAUCAAAUCACAUUUAAACAACAGAAAAGUUCGUCUAGUAACUUUUGUUAUGAAUAAAAAAUCCAUUCCCAAUGAGCAGUAUCAUAUAAUCUCUGCAACCAAUAUUGAUUAAGAAAGACAAUGAAGCACUAACAUUUUAAACCUACACAAUGGGAAACUGAAACUUUCAAAACAUGAGGGUUACAUUUCAUCAUACACAAUAACCAACAAUUACCAAGUAAAUUUAGGGUGUAAAGAAUAUGUUGAGUUGAAAUCAAAAUCCAACCACCUAAGACUCAUCACUCCACACAUAUUCUACAACCCCAGCUACCAUCACAGCCGCAACAAAAAUCAAACAAAAAGAGAACAAAUGAUGAAAACUGGAAAAAAAGAAAGAAGCAAAAAAAACACCUUUCUACUCCUCCCACCUCUUUUCCUUUUACUCCCCCCUCUCACAAAACAUACCUUUCCCCUCACAUGCAUAGGAAAAUGUAAUCUUAAAACUCUACCAAGAGUAUUACACCUAAGCACAAAAGACCGGGAAAGGAAAACACUUAACAAAAAAUAUAACUUGCAGAAUCAUAAAUAUUGUACUAAUGUAGUACUCAAUUAAGUAAAUGGAUUAGUUAGUCCCAUGCACUUUGGCCACCAAAUCCACCGCCACUAUACCCACCACCACCUCCUCCACCAUAACCACCUCCAUAAUUGCCACCACCUCCAUAGUGGUCACCACCUCCACUACGGUUGCUGUCCCUGCGGAAAUCACGACCACCAAAACGACCACCAGACCUACGAUUUUUACCACCACUGAAUACACGGGUGUUAGCAAAGCGAGUAAGCCAAGUAGGAACUUCCUGGUUUGACUCCUGCAUCAAUUCUAAAAGAGGCUUUGCCAUGGAGGUGUUGUUGUCAGUGAAGAAUGCGGUAGCCAUACCACUCUUACCAGCUCUCCCAGUUCUACCAAUCCGAUGAACAUAAUCAUCGAUAUCAUUAGGAAGGUCGAAGUUCACCACAUGGGCCACAUGAGGAAUGUCAAGCCCACGUGCAGCAACAUCUGUGGCAACCAUGAUUGGAGUUUUACCGGAUUUAAAAGACCUAAGUGCAUGCUCACGUUCCUGUAAAUAAAUUUAUGUAAGAAAAAAUAAUUAAGACUUGAGAGGGUAAUUGUUUUAAUAAUAAUAAAAAAGAACUAAAAAGAAAAAAAAAACAGUGUUAAUGUUAUAUAUAUGAUAAAAUUAUUCAAGGAAAAUACAUUUUACAUUACCUGCUGGGAUCUAUCACCAUGAAUUGUAGUUGCAGGAAACCCAUUCUUGCACAACCAACCUUCCAAGGAAUCAGCUCCCCUUUUGGUCUCCACAAAUACUAAGGUCAGAGCUUGCUGAAAUAUGAAAAGGAAUUAAAGAAAAUGUUGCAGUUGUGGUAGUAUUUAAAACCUAAAAUCACCAAAGGUUCCAAAAUAAGAUAAGACUCACAGCAACAAGAAAAUAUGAGAAAACGAAACUAGUUAGUAAUUACCUACCUUUCCAUGAUUACCAUUUUCUCUUUGAGCAUGAAUAAGAUCCAUCAGGUGACUCCUUUUUUCACCCUCUGGAACAAACUCGACCCUCUGAGCAAUCAGAUCAGUACUAGAACCAACCCUGCCAACAGCAAGGAAAAUAUAGCUUGAAAGAAAAUCUGAAGCCAGUCUCUGCAUUUCAGAACAAAAAAGUCAUUCAGGCAUGAAAUGUUAAAAAUAAAAUCAUGGAUGAGAUAAAAAUACCAAGCCACGCAUUCAUAUUGCAUUCAAAAAGCAUGCAAAAAAAAUCACGUUAAUAACAAAAAACUAUUUUGUUUACUAUAAUAAUAUAUAACCCCUCCGGAAAGAUAACAGUGGCACUGACAAAACAGUUAGACUUAACAUCAUAUAGUACAGUUUUCUAGACAGAAACAAGUUAAUAACCAACAGUAGAAAAAUUGACCGCUAAACGGUCAUCUAGAUAAGUUGAUAGGAUUGCUUCAACUGGUUUGAUUAAUUUCCGGCACUGCAAAUAGAUAUGUAAUGGGGAAUUGUCACUGAGAAUUCCAAAAAGUUGUACAGUGAGGUGUCCUCCUCACAUACCUUAGAGAACGUGGAGGAGCUCUCAGUGGUAUUAACCUCAAGGCACACGUUUACCUUAGAGAAAGUGAAGGAGCUCUUAGUGGUAUUAACCUCUAGACUUGCGUUAAAGAUCUUACGCAUGAGGGCAUUGAAAGGUAAUUUCGAUUUAAAUAUAAAAUUAAAUCGAAAUUCAUAAUUAUAACAUUAAAUUUUCUACAUUUUAUAGAUUUCUCACAUACAGAGAACCAAAAACGGAAGAAAAAUUACAGAUUACAUCUUUCCUUGCCCUGCACAGCAUAAAUGAAGGCAAGGAAAAAUUGAGGAAGUUUAAUUGGUCCACGUGAGUGAGGGUUAAGAGAUAAUCAAACUUGUUUAGGUGUUGCGGAUAUGGUAACCAAAACUCGUUUUUAUUGUCACUAUAAGAUCUCAUAAAAGCAUCAGAAGUUCAGAAUCAAUCAUGAAAGUAAUUAGAAAUUUAGAAUUAUGAAGUCUUACGUGAAAAUCAUCAAACAAAAAAAGAUCAUCAGCAUGAGAUAAGACAGUGCUUGAAAAAAACUAACCCUGACCCUACAUUUUCCCUCCACCAGAGACUGCAAGAAAUGGUCACUAAAAAACUAAACUUCAUAUGGGGUUGGCAUAUUCUGGAGCUUCCAGAAUGCAUGAUUGAGAGUCUCAGCUAGUGGGAGAAGGACAGAUCAAGAUUUAGGGAUUCAACCACCAUAGCAUAAGAAUUUUGGAGAUCCACUAGGUCCCAACCCCAAACUCUGAAUUUGGGUAAGGUCAAACAAAGUCCAUACCCAACCCAAACUCAUCCCUAGAUCAUGGUAAACUCAAGUACUUCAACCACCUUGGCAUUGCUAAAAUCCUUUCGAUCAAAUACCAAAGCCACAACAACCUUCUACAAACCUUCCACCAACAUAGUUUGGUCUGCUAAUAUGAGUUCUUUAGUGUGGUACCCCAACUCUAGGGCUACCUUAAUACAUCAAAAAUGACACUGGCAAUAUUAAAAAAAACUAGGAAAGCCAGAUGUUGAUAAAAUCAAUAUAAUAUAAAACCAGGAAUGUCAGAUUCAUGAGAUUUACAAGGAAAAGAUAAUAUAUACAUAAGAUUUAGGAAAAGGAUUAUUACUUGAAUUUCCUUGGGAAAAGUAGCACUGAAAAGCAUCGUCUGUCUCACCCCAGGGGGAGGCAUAUCCAUUUGUUGUACGAUUUUACGAAUCUGUGGCUCAAAUCCCAUAUCAAGCAUUCUAUCUGCCUCAUCCAGGGCAAGAUACCUUAUCAUCUGUAAUGAUACUCUAGCUCUUUCAAGCAAAUCAACCAAACGACCAGGAGUAGCAACAAGAAUCUCAACACCUCUUUCCAAAUCACGCAACUAACAUAUCCAUCAACAAUAAAAAAAGAAUAAUAAUCAGAAUUCAGAACUCUGAAAAAAACACAAUAUCUUAAGAUUUUCAAAGGAUGUUUGCAUUCCACUAGAAUAUUUUAAGAUUUUCUAAUUGACGUAAAAACAUGAAAUGAAAAACAAAUAAAAAAUCUAAUGGCAUCAUCAAAGACUUGUAAAGAAAAAAUGUUGAAAAUGGAAACCUGAUUGGUAAUAGGAGCACCUCCAUACGCAACAACCACCCGCACACCAGUUUUGUAUGAAAAUUUCUUGGUCUCCUCGUGAAUCUUAGAAAAAACAAGAAUCUUUAGACUUGUUUACCAAAAAGUUGAAAGGAAAAAAAACCCUGAUACAAUGAAAUAUAACAUUCUAACCUAAUAACAUUUCCGAAAUCUUACUUGGCAUGAAAGCUCACGGGUAGGAGACAAAAUAAGUGCAAGUGGAUAAGCUGUUCGCACUCCUCUCCGUAUUGAGACAGGUUGACCCUUCAUAAUACCAGCUAUAAUCGGGAAACAGAAAGCAGCUGUUUUCCCAGACCCCGUCUGAGCACAAGCCAUCAGAUCUCUUCCAUCAAGAGAAAUAGGAAUAGCAUGCUUCUGCACAGGUGUAGGCUUCACAUAUUUACACCUCCGAAUGUUAUCAUUCAAAGCAUCCCCAAGAUCGAUCUCCGCAAAGCUGUUGACGGCAGCUGGCACAUUGUGACCACUAGUCUCGACGGGAAUAUCCUCAUAAGCAUCAAAAUUGAUACCGGUGUUUUCCUCUUCAAACUCUGGCUCAGGGUCAUCAUUUGCAAAAGGAUUAACUUCUCUAUCCCUCCCACGGUCCCAACCACCACUUCUAUUAUUCCAACCACCACCUCCACUCCCACUCCCACGUCCACCCCCACCACUGUAGUAGGAAUUCCCUGAAUCCCUCCCAGGUCCUCCACCCCAGCGACCUAUACCCUGUUGAACCGGGGGGUUUCCAAAGAGUGAUUGUUUUGGACCACCCGAAGGAGCACCAGUAAACACUCCAGAUACCACAGAGCUGUCCGACGGAGGACUUUUUCGAAGAUGUGGCGGAACAUAUGAAGAUCGAGGUAGACGAAUAGGAGCAGUAACAGACACAGUGUCAGGAGCAGAAGAAGUAACAGAAGCAGGAGGAUCACUUAACUUCUCCUCAGAAUUGACAGAAUCAGCCCAUGAAGUUCGCAUAACUAUAACUAUCCACAAUCAAGAACCACAGACCAACAAACAAAACAAAAACAAAAAAGAUAACGUGAGCCGAAUCAAAAUCUAAAUGAAAUUCAAAAUAAAUAAAUAAAAAAACAAGAAACAAGAAAAAAUUACCGUAAAGCAGAAAUCCAGACGGAAACAAAGCUUCAUCCAACAGAACCUACAAACCACCUGCGAAUGAAACACCAUAGAAUUAGCAAAACGGAAACAAAAACCCCUGAAUCCCGGGAUCCGAUCUUGGCGUACAAGAUGAAGGGCGACGACCUACCUUCGGAACAAGAAACCCUAGAACCGAAAAAAAAAAGAAGAUGGUAGAAAUAUAAUUAAAUGAUAGAUGUGAACGGUGUGUGAAUAGAUGGAUGAUAUGAAAAAAAUACAGUGAUGAAGGGGAUUUAUAUAAUAUCGAUAAAUUCUAGUUCGAAUCAUUUAACUGAAACAUAGGAAAGCAAUCUCAACCGUCUAUUUCCAAUCUAAAAAUUUGAAUAUACUUCAAUGAAUCUUGGUAGCUCAAUUGGUCCAAAUAAUUAUUAAAUUUUCUAACGAUUCAAGGUUCGAAUCUUACUUUGUAAUCGAAUUUUUUACUUUUGACUUUGAUAAUUACUAAUAGAAAUAUUAUUUUCAGGUGUCAUUAGUGAUAAUUAGAGUAAUUCUUAUAUAUUUUGUAAGUUUAUUAGUUUAAGUCAGUUGAUCAUAAUUCAUAAGUACACUGAUUAUUAUCAUUCUAUAAAUAGAGUACCCUAUGUAAUUAACUACAAUUUAUUCAUAAUAAAAUAUGCUAAUGAUUAAUUAUAAUUUUUAUUAAUUCAUUAGUGACAAUUAAUUGUGUAUUUCUAGGAUUAGGUGUUAUAAUUGUAUUAUAUUUCAUUAUAAAUGUUAGAUGAUGUCUUUCAUUUAUUAAAAAGAUAAUUUUUAAUCAUCACAAUUUCGAGAAAAAUGAAAAGUUUAAAUCAUUAUAAUACAAUUAUAACAUUCAGAAGUUGGUCUUAGUAUUAUAAAUCUUGUUAUAUUUAAUGUAUCAUCUUAAUUAAAAUGAAGGAAUGCAAUCAUUUUGAUUUAAUCAUUUAAUAUUUCAAAAUCACCCUCAACAACUUUGAUUUUUUAAAAUUAAAUCACAUAAACUAUUAAAAUUGUUGAAGUAUCGAUGUUUUAGUCUCUUAUUCUCUUUAAAUUUCAUUCUGGAUUCCUUUUCUCACACAAUCUUAUCAGCAUUUAGGAAUCGAUUCUCAAAAUAUCGAACAAAAUGGAUAAUGGUUGAUAUUCCCCUCUUGCAAAGUUGCAAUCAGAAAGGGGUGGUUGGUUUUCUUUUAUUUGCAGUGCUUGAAAAGUGCAAGUAGACAUGUGUAGACGACACAAGUAGGAUGCAUUAUUAUUUUAUCUUUCAUUGUGUAAUGUAUAUGUAGAAAGCGAUUCAGGUGAGAUUUCAAAAAUAAGAUAUCUCAUAAGGUAUUAAUUUUAAAUAAAAUAAAUUAUAUCUCGAAAUCGUACCUUAAUUUAUUUUAAAAUAGAUCAUAUCACUUUUAGAUUUUAUUGUAUCUAACUUUUGAGAUUGUGUUAUUUUUGUGUGUUUAUGGCAAAUGUCGUAAACUAUUUAUAUAAAAAAAUUAUUAUUCUGAAACGACUUUUGUACCUUUUUCCAUCAUUGCCAUGAAUCAUAUCUAUGGCUUCAUAACUGAGGAUUUAAAGACUCCAAGAGAAUCUGUUAACUUAAGAUCACAAUAAAUGGAACUAGAAGAUGUUAGAAUAUUCACCAGACUAAUAGUUUCCAUCCGAAUCAAAUCCGAGACUUUUUACCCAACCAAAUUGGAUAGGGUAUUCGACGCGAAAACGAUAAGACACGACAUUUUCUACCUAACACGAGUACUGGUGAUUAUACCUAAUAUUGGUGGACAAAGUAUAGAUAAAUAUUUUUCAUCCGACCUGGAUCUGAAGAGACUGGUGAUUAUACUUAAUAUCACAACUGAAUCCAAUCAUAUUAGAAAAAGUAUAAAUGAAUAUUUUUCAUCCGACACGGAUCCAAAGACGACGGAUUGAUGACUAUACCCAAAAUAUCACACCAAAAUCCGAUCAUAUUGGAUAAAGUAUAGAUGGAUAUUUUUAAUCCGACACCGACCGAACCCUAAAAGCUUAUAAAAAUUAGACUCUCCAAAAUUAACUUUUAAAAAAUAUUAUUCAGGAAUGAUUUUAUCCUUCUUCCAUUACUGCCAUGAUCUCAUAAUACCAAAAAAAUAAAAGGACAGCAGAAAAACCUUCAAGGCUCCAAAUCUCCAACCAAGAAACUCCAAUUUAUUUUCAUAUCUAUUUGUUGGCAAUUAUCCGCUGUUUCUACAAAAGAUAAGCAGCAGAAGUUCAUUAUGUAAGGAGCCUUUUAAGAAGAAGAAAAAGGCAUCCAUUAUGAACCCUAGAAAAUUUCAAGAUAUUGUUUGAAAACAAGUUAGAUGGAUAAAGAGAAGACAAAAUGAAAAGGAACAUUAUAAUAUUGUUGAAACUUAAAAAGAAGAUUAGAUUGAAGUGUAAUGAAUUAGAAUUACACAAUGAUGCCUUUUUUAGCUCCUUGUUUUUCUGCAUGUCCGCCAAAAUUGUAAUUUUUGCUGUGCACCUAAUGGAAUCCGAGACGUCCAGAAAAAAUACUGAUAGAUGUAUCGGUUCAGCAUCUGCAGCUUAAUUCACAUAAAUGAUGGAACAAAGCUCUUAGGGAUGUUUGUCUGUCGUCUCUGAUUCAUUGCAGCAUCAUUUACAGAAAACUCACAUCGCUACGAUGUAUGCAUUAUCAUGAUCAACUGGGACCAGGAUGAGUUAAUCAGCUAUAGAAGUAGACACUUGAAUGAACACUUCAUAUAAACGAAUCAAUUCACAGAUUCAAAGAAAAGAACUUGAGGUUGUAGAUGUCCUCUUACGCACAUUGAAAGUACAUCAUCCCAACUGCCGACAACCUGUAUGGAGGACAGUGGCCAAUUUAUUUCUAAAGAAACUAGAAAAAGAUUAUUAAAUGUAAAGUUAUAAAUGGCAUAAAAUAAUAACUCACUUUCACCAUUUUGUCAUCAUAUAAGAACCAUUGUUUGCAUUCGUUAUUGUAUGCAAAACAAUGAUAAUGUUGUCCAUAAUAGCAGACCUGAGAAAUUAAGAACGACAUAAAAAAUGUGCUGACACCAAAUAAAUAUUUGAAUAAAGAUAAAAGAUCAAUGGUGGAAUAGUGCUCUACUACAUUCAUUGUUUAGUACUUGGGGGAACCUCUUCCCAAGCAAAAGUUAACGACAAACACAUUAAGUAAAUUUUCUUGUAUGAUCAUAUAAUCACAAAAGCUAAUGAUCAAUUCCAGAAGCAAAGACACUAAAAAAAGCAUGAAAUUUCAUAAAAAUAUGAAAAAAAGAUAAUAGUGUUGUACCACAGAAAUGAGUUCAUGCUUGUUUCCCAUGUCUAAGCCACGAUAAAGAACGCCAAUAUCCAAUUCUGUGGUUAUAGCAGCCAAAGUUGCUGAUAUGUCAUUUGGAUUUUCACACGUAGUUUGCCAACCCAAAACUAGGAAAUAAAUAAACAAAAAUAUCAAAGAUAAAUUCCAUCAAAUGAUCAAGAAAAAAAGUUAUGGCAAUGAAAAGAACAUACCAAUUGUGAAAACAUGUGGAGAUCUUGAAAAAAUAUGAUGAAUAUAAUUUGGCCUUCCACAGCCACCAGCAUCGCGAUCACAAGCAACUUGGUGAUUCAUUUCCACAUGAUUCAGAAGUUCGGCAAAAGAACUGUCUGCACAUGUGAUCUAUAUAAAAAGAAAGGUUGGGUUAGGUUAUAUUAAAUUUAUGAAAUGAUUCAACAAAGAAUGAAGACUAAAGGUAUUGUUGAAAUAGUUGAUCCUAACAGAAAAUGUUGGGGUGUGCUAAAAACAUGUUUUUGGCCAAUACAUUAAUUUCAUUAUGUCAACAAGAUAUUUAAAUAAUAAAAAGUUUACAAAUAAGUGAAUAACACAAGCCAUAGAAAGCACUCAGCAACUCACUCACAAAUUCCCACCAUGGAAUCUGCUCGGGAAUGCCCUUGGUCGUAUUGCUUGGUAUCUCCGGUCCGAAAGGAACAGAAAACUCAAGCAGCAUACCUUGAGACCUCCAGAAAUCCCCACCAUCAGGAACAUGAGCCUCUCACCAUCGGGAAUUGUAGGAAAGAACGUUGUUCCCAAUUGGAGAAAUACAUAAUGCAAGAGUGGGAGGCCAACUCCCAAGCCUACUACUAGUUAAUUACUAGUUUUAAGAAUAUAUAGGAAGUGUCGAUGGGCCAAGUUCCAUCUCCCUAAAUUUUCUAUCUUCUCUAAUUCUGUAAUCCAGGGCAUUGCCUAACAUUUUUAUAACGAGAGAUUUAAAUUUUAUCAAAAAAAAACACGUUAGAAGAAAAAUCUGCCUUGAUAUUUGAGUCAAUUUAGGUUUCUACUUUCAACACAAACUAGUAACCACCCAACCCAAUAAGCAUGCAAUUUCUAUUUUUCAAAAUAAGGAUAAAUAAAUUAAAAAUGCGAAAAACUAUUUUAAAGGUGAAACCAGCCAUCCUGCAAACAAAAACACCACUGCCCUUGAGUUUACAAGUUAUUGCCCAUUUAGGGUUCAGAGUUCAGACUACAUUAAUCCUACCCCCGAGCAUGCAAAUUCAUUUCCACUCUGGAAUACCAGAUAUUAAAUCUCAUAAAAAUAAAUUAAAAACAUGCCUUUGUUGUACGUAGAGCAUUGGCAUUGACGUUAUGGAAAAAUGUUGUAUACUUUAAAUGCCUGGACUCGAGACUACAUUUCUGGCAGUUCAUUUGCUCAAAUACAUCCAUUCCAAAGAGAUGGUGUGCUAUACACGAACUAUUAGAACAGUCCCAUGAACCUAAGCAAUUGCUUUCUUCUGAUCCAGUAUCACAAUCACUUGAAAAUGACGUAACCGAACGAUGAAGGCAGUCAAAUAGUACUGCCAAUACUUCUGAAGCAUCAUUCAUCUGAGCCUGGAGAUAAAAUAGAUUUGUUAGAUAUUAGAUUAAAGACAGGAAAAUAGUAUAAUAAGUUGAAGAUGGAAAAUAAAUGAAAACACCAUGAAUAAACAAUUUGAUUCUUGGAGCAAUUGUUUAGCAAAAUAUAUUUGGCUAAUAUUUUUCAGGAAAGAAAAUUGAUACAAAGAGCUUCUUGUUUAAGUCUCUCUGUAACAACUGAAUAAAAUUAAUAGAUAUAUAUAUAUAACUAUAGUCGGUGGCUGGUGUUUAGAAAAAUACAGCAAAAUCCUUUAAAAUGGCACACAAAACAAUAAUUGAGACAAAAUAUCAUAAAACAGAAUAAGAAAAUGCAAUACCUCUUGAAAGAAAUUACUAUCGGGAUAUAAGUUGCUUAAAGCAGACCGCAGGGAAGUAGGAGCAACAGGUUCUUUUAGAUCACCCAUCGAAGCCAUGCUCAGAGCAUUAAAUAUUUCAUACAAUGCACAUAUAACACAAGGACUUCCAACAUGCAUGUGCUUUGGUGAAAAUGCCAAGAACUCGUUACGAAAUCGCCUCAAAUGCCACAAUGACUGAAUUUUAAGGAAUGAAAAAAAUGUAUAACUAAAAAAUUAAGAAAAAAUUGAAACUAAGACAAAAGUGGAAUUUGAAGAAAAGAAUCUUCAUUCUUUAGUAACAUUAUCCAAUACCAACCUGGAUGAUCACAUUCAAAAAACAAUUGUACUCCCCAGCUUCAUUUUUUAAGCCUGUCCCAAGAACACCAUUUCGAUUCAAAGUGAUUUCUGACACUUGAAUAUCUGAACUCUUAUCAUUGUCAACUACUGGAGCUACCUUUGGCAUUAUUCUCGGUACUUGAGCCACAGUAAAGUUCUUAUGAGCUUCAUAUGUGUCUGUAAACAAAACAAGAAAUGAUAGACUAAGGACAUCCACAAUCUCACUACAUGGAAUAUGAAUAAUCUAGAAAGAAUAUGGGCUAAAAUAAAUAAAAAACACCAUAAAAGACAGGUAGAGAUAUGGAUUGUGAUUGUUGUGUUAACAUUAAGAUAUUUUCUUAGGUUAAAUUGCUAGCCAUUUUUAAUGCCAAAAAAAAAUAUGAUAGAUUAACAUGACGGUUAAAGAAACAUAAACCAACCUAGGCUCUGUCUGACAGCUUUUUUAAGGUCUUCCUGGAACCUCUCUUCAUCAUCCUCUUCAGCAUGCAAUUCUCGUAAUGUUUUGGAUCCAUUUUCACCUGGAUAUAUGACAAUUGACAAAUAUUGCAUCAAAUUGUGCUGAAGAUAUUAUAAAAAAUACAUCAUAAUUAUCACGCAGUUUUUUUUGUUAAGGUAUGUUGUAUUAAUUGAAAAUAAAAUUUUACAAACAGUUUAAUAGUUAAUAACAAAAAAAAAAAAUUUACAGAUACCCAAACAGCAAAUAAAUUAACACGUAAUUAUAAAUGUACGAAUCAUAUAGGGUCUCCUGUUUUACUGUAAACUGCCAAAGAAACGAAUACAAAUUCAGAACUCCCAUGAAAAAACAAAAACCACCUAGACUAAUGAAGAGCAAUGCCCAUGUUACAUUGAAGAUAAAUUAAAGAAAAAUGGAGAUGAGCAAUGUUCCUAUACUCUUUCCUAUAUAGCACUACCCCAUCUAGUGAUAAAGUAACUAGGUGUGUUGCCACAGGAGGCUGGCCUCCCAUAAAAUAUAAUGAAAAUUAGAAAACUUUAAAAACUUAAGGACCUAAAAAUAAAAACCACAAAAUUUUAAACUUAUAAACCCUAACCACACAAUCGUUGCCCCUACCUCUACCCCAAACAGCACAACCAGAUCCUCUGCCUCCUCUCAUCCUCGCCGGAGCAACCUCCUCUCACCCUCGCCGGAGCUUCUCAUUCCAGUCGCCAGAUCUUAUUUUCAAUGUUUGUUUAAGACUUUAAGAGUUUAAGUAGACUAUAAUCACUCUAUUAUUUUAAUUAUGAUUUUUAUUAUGAUUAUGACCUAUAAUAUCAGGGAAUUGCAUAAAAUAUAGAAAAUACGUAUAUUGAAAAAAUAAAAAUAUAUUUAAAAAACGUCACCUAUUGGGUCGCAUAUGCGACCAGGCGCUCGCAUAUGCAUUAUGCGCACUCAGGCAUCGCCUGGUUGCCUAGCCGCCUGCAAAAGCUUGUGUAUUUCUAUUUGAAAAUCAUGUUUUUAGGGAAACAGUUUGUUUCCGGCUAUUUUUUCAGAAUAUAACAUGUAUUUACUUCUUCAACAUGUAACCAUUAUACAUUAGCAGGUAAUAUUUAUUAUUUACAUUAAAUAUACAAUUUCCUUUGCAGGCUGACACAUUAACACACUAAUCACUCUAGUACCCCAAGAUGCGGGUUACUGGGUAUACCGCACUUUAGGCUAUCUUAAACCUUGUUCAGGAGAAAGGCCAAAACAUGGAAAUUUGCAUGAUACAGAUUAUAUGGAAAUGGUUCGUGGAUAAAAAAAUACCAAUAGAAGCUUCCAAACUGUUUUUUGCAGCUUCGGCUAUUUUUGCCUCUUUUGCAAUUUUCAGAUUAGCGGCCCUUGUCCUUCCUAAAUGAAAUACACAUCAAUGGCACAAGUAAAAAACUAAAGAUCGUGGUUGCAAAAAAACUAAAGAUCGUAAAAUAAUGCCCAAAAAUACAUGAAAUGAAUCAUAAAAAUCAUGCAAUACAUACUACUUUCACCAUGUGAAUUGUCAAUGAUCUUUUUAUGAGGGUGGCCUUUGUUGUGGACCAUAUUUUGAGAAGGCCCAUCUAUGUUGUUUUCCUUCUCAAAUUCAGCUUUGGGGCUUCCUUCGGCUAUUCUUUUAGAAUUACUUGACUUGUUGAAAUGUCUGUCUAGCCUCGUUUCAUGAGGCAAAUUUCCAUCUUGAAAUAUAUCAGGAGAACCUUCAAGUAAUCCCAAAAAUCAUUUUAUUUAUAAAUGAAAUAAAAUUAUACCAGCAUCAAUUUUAAAUUAGAUAAAACUAAUGCUAGUACAAUUGACAUGAGACAUCACUAACAUAUCUGAAUUUCUGAUUUCAUGAUUGAAAGCAGCUUACAAAAAUGAGUUGUUAUAGUUAAUCUCUUUUUAUUUAUAUUAAAGAAAUUCACAUAAACUUUAAAAUAUAUACGCAUUAUUAAAAAAAAAGGAAAUUAAAAGAAACAUGUAACAAGUAGCAUCUUAUGACUACUGAAUAAUAAUAAUUAGCUAUAUAUAAAAGACACAGUCUUUUUGCAAUUUAAUUGGAUUUAUCAUCCAUAAAUUAAAUAUAAUAUGAUGGUUGUGCCAUACUCCUUUCAUUGACAAAAACAGUUAAUUACUCUUUUUGGAGACUAGGAAACACCCCCACUCCCUCUCCCCUUCUUUUAGGUGACCUGAUAGAAGCUUGCCAAAAACUCACUUAUCAUUCUCCUCUUUUUUGGCAGUGAUGGCUGAAGCAACACACUCAUCAUUAGAUCAUGGGGUGCAUUGCUUGGAAUAUCUGGUCUGAGAAGAACAAAAUGAUGAAGCAACACACUCUGAGACCCAGAGAUCCUCACAAAAGAAAUCAUAGGGACAUCAACCUAUCUUACAAAUCAGAAGAUUUCAAGAAGGCCAAUUGUUCCAAAUGAAGAUAUUUACAUUGGAAAUGUGGGAGACUAACCUCCUGAGGCAGCAUCUCUAUUUACUUAAUCAUUAGAAAUCAUAUCAUAUAGUAAAGACUAAAGAGUCGAUGAACCUAGGGUCAUCUUCCUAUUUUUUAUAUCUCCACUUGUAUUCUAGGACACUGUCCUUUACUUAUAAUGAAAAAUGAACUUUACCAAAAAAAUGAUGGUUGUAUUAUCCAUAUUAAAUAUAUUAUCAUUUGUAUCCAACAAAAAAACUAAAUGCACACCUCUUUUGUUUUUAGGAUGAGAGCGAUUAUUUGCCUUAUUUGUCCUUUGGUUGAAAGAAGUUGUAACUGAUACUUCUGACACUGAAUCACCUUCUAAAUGAUUUACCAUUUUUCCAUUCUGAUUUAACCUUGUAACAUUUUCACUUUGUAUUAUCUCAAGUGACUUCUCUUUGUGGUUGUGUGUGACUGCUUGUGAGUCAUUGUUGACCAGUAGAUCACUCUUGCCAUGGAUGGAAAUGACUGGAUCAAAUUUCAUACUCUGAGCUGGAGAAUGUAUGAUUUCAGAGAAAUGGAAAUCCCCAAAACCUAUUCCUUUGAUAGAAGUUGAAGAAGCAGUCUCACUUAAAUUUGUGUGAUCAUAGUUAGCCAAUUCACCAUUUGAAUCCUGUGUGGCAUUUAAAUAUAUAUGGGAUGGCUUCUUUAACAUAUUUUGUGAGGGUACUCCACUAGUUCUUUUGAUUUGUUCUUCAAUAUGCUUCUGUUUAGCCUCAUUUUCCAUUUUCCGUUGAUACUCUAAGGUCUCUUCAAGUUUCCUUUCUUCUGCUUCAAGUUCAGUUUUUCGUCUAAAUUCUUCUGCUUCAUCUUCCUCCUCUUGUAACUUCAAGUAACCUUUACUUGGAAAAUAUUCGAUUUCGGAUAAUCUAGCUUCUGCUGUGACAAGAGUUUCACUGUAACAAAAAUACAUGCCAAAGAUAUUAUGACUGCUUAACAUAGUACUAUGAUAAACGAUUAAAUGAUUAUAAUACUUUGCAAAAAAAUCUAUAACGAGAAACGAAGUUCAGCAAAAAUAACCAACAUUCCUAAAUCUCCAUGUUCUAUUACACAGAACACAGAAGUAUUAACAUAUAAAAGUUUGUCUUAAAAUUUUAUUACCGAAAAAACAACAUACAUAAUCGUUAAACCUGUAAAUGGUAUACCAAAAUCUGUAUUCGUAUCCGUUUUCGAAUUUGAAUAUGUCUAUUCGAAUUCGGAUUUCCAGAUUCCGGAUCCGGAUACCAAAAAUGAUAUCCGAAAAUUAUCCGGACGGAUUCGGAUAUCUGCAAUAUCCACCGUUAAAAUCCGAAUUCGGUUGAUAAUUCCGGAUUCGGAUAUCCGAAUAAAUAUAAAUUGACUUCCGGAUAUCUGUAUUAUCCGGAUUUUAGGGUGAUUAAUUGACUAUUGAUUAACUUUAUUAAGGGUGAUUUUAUAUUUUUAUAAUUUUAUUUUAAAAUUUUUAUAAAAAGUUAUCCGGAUUCGGAUUUUCCAGAUAUCCAGAAAUUUAUCCGAAUUCGGAUUUUUCUAUCCGGAUAUUAUUCGGACGGAUUCGGAUUAUCCGGAUAUUAUCCGGAUUCGGAUACCCCAUCCGGAUUCGGAUACCAGGGUAUCCGAGCCGAAUCCGACCGAUACACAGGCCUAAUCGUGGCAUUUUCAAUUGGUAAGUUUAGUUAAUUGCUUUAAAAAAAUUUUGGUAAGUUUAGUUGAUUUUCCUACUUCAAUGUUGAAAGUAAACAUUUAAGAUUCCAAUUGCCAUAGAUGUGCAACCUAACAAACAAACAUCAAUCGUCAAUAAUAUGCAUUUUUUGGACUAAGGAAACUUAGGAAAGUAAGAAACCUUUUAUCACUAGUUCGAUGAGCUUAGGCUCAUUUCCCUAAGUUAUUACUAUUUUAUCUGUCUUCAUGUGUAAUCUCUGGUCACUGCUCAUCAUUCACGUAAUAAAAAAAAUCUAUCAAAAAAGAAGUCAAAAACCUCUCCUAGAAAGGUAAAACUUCCAAGUGAUAUACCAUAGCCCACCUAAUAUAUAUAGCUGUGUAAUUUUAAAGUGGAUAGGUACUCAUCAGAAAUAAAACUUUUAACCUCAUACAAAUUUUUAUUAUCACAAGACCAUACUAUUACACGAUUUACAUUGUGAAUUAAUCCCUCAUUUUUCAAAGAAAAAUAAUUGAGCUAAAAAAGUGUUUACUAAAAUAGUAAAAUCACGUCAUCUAAGUAGAUGGGGUAAACAUAGCUAUCAAUUUAACUACAGUGUCAAAUUUAGAGCUGUAAGCCUGUAACUCCAAAAAAAGGGCAUGAAAACUUCCUGAGAAAGGAGUCCCUGAUAAUAAUGAUCUGUUAUAUACUUAAAUUAGUUCAAGAUUACUGUUAUGGAACAUGUUAAUUAAUAUAAUCUAUGACAGAUCUCCCUCUUUUGUAUUCUCUAUAAAUACUGGUGUAAAAAUCUAAAAUCUAAAUAUUCAUCAGUUAUUAAUGUAAUGAUCAUCAGUUUUGGAUUCAUAUUUCUGAAAAACUAAUAUAAAAAUGAUGGAAAGAAAAUAUACAUUUUUUCUGAUGAUUCCUGAUGGAAGACAGCCUCACCAUUACAAGCAAAAGUCUGAAUUUUUUUAUAAUAGUUAGUAAUAUGCAUAUAAACAGAACAAAAAAUAGAUCAACUGGAAGAAAAGUACCGUUGAAGCCUUUGCAUCCUUUGGUUUUCUGUGAUCCUUAUUUUUUUUCUUGUCCUUGGUUUUUUCCUGAUAAUUUUUUGAUUGUUCACCUCCUUUACUUACAUUCUUUUUAGCAUCCCUUGCAAGUUCUGCUAAAAAAGCUUCUCUUGCUGCAUCAGAUUUCUCGGUGGCAUCUUUGUCAACUAAAUCCUCUAAAUAUGCCUGCAAAAAAUAAGGGUAAUCAUAGCUCAACAAAUAAAUCUAAAAGAAUGAUAAGAAAGGAAGAGUGAUGAUUAAAUCAAGUGUCAGUUGUGAGUUGUGACAAGCCCUAAUAUUUCCCCACCUCAAAAAAGAAAUUAAUCCAGAAACAACUAAAUAAACUCACUUUAAAAAAAUGAUUUAUCUUUUCUUAUUACCAAAAACGAUUUAUUUUUCCUUAUUAACAAAAACAAGUCAGAAUAAUAUACCCGCAUGAAAGACUUGACAAGAGGCAAAACAACUCCCCGGUAAUCAAAGACUGAAGAUGGUCCAAGUUUUUGCUCCAGCUGCUCUAUUCCAGUGAGAUUCCGCAUAAUCCUUGCAUCAAUUUUACUAAUCUGAGCAAGAACAUAUUACCAGUAAUAAGCAACAAUAUUAUCUUUUUGAAAACUGCAUCAAGCUUACAAACCUCAAUAGAUACAUGUUCUUUUUGUCUCUGAAUGGCCGUUUCUACACAAGAAUCUGCCUGAUGCAAAAGAUCUUGUACUCUCCAUUCAUCUUCCCCGCUGCAAUCUAACUCACAUAGCCGAGAUGUCGUGCCAGUUAAUGUCUUAUCAUACCCAAACUGAUUAGAAUUUAAUGAUUGUGAUUCUUUCAAAAUAUUUGAAAUAGCAUCCAUCUCUAGCCGACUUUCAUUAAAUACUGUGUCACUCUCCCUCUCAACAAGAUCUUCCCGCCUCUUUCUCAAGAUAGUAUCAUAACUAUUAGCAGUGACAGUAACUGUAGAGGCAUGUUCUCUCUUCUUGAAUUCUUCUAGACAAAGAUUCUCCACUGUGUGUAAAGCCUCUUCAUAGUUUAAAUGCUCGCAUUUCCUUUCACACAUAUUCUGCAAGAGGUAAAAGUCCUUCUCCAACAUCUGUAGAUUUUCAAGUCCCUGUUGUGUCUUUUCAUCCCUAGAAAUAGUCCAACUUACCAACUGGUCUCCACUCGACAUGCCAGAAAAUAACCAAGACACCAGUAUAUUUGUAUCGACUUUAUCUAUAUCAUCAGCAGGAUCACAAUUUUCAGAAGCAUCUUUAUUACAAAAUAAUCUGUGAUCCAAGUGGAGGGUUGUGGCAUCACAACUAAGAACAAUAUUAUUUAGGGAUUCAUUUCCUUGGCUCACAAUAAGAGUAUCAUCAAUGAUAAUAUUGUUUUCAGCAUAUCGCCCUAAGCCACAUGAAUGUGAAAGAUCCUGCAAAAACUUAAGUACUUUCCGAAGAUGUGAUGCUUCUAAGAAACAAAUGCAGAGAGGAGAUUGAUCCAAUCCAACUUUCAUCAAUUGAGAACUAUAUGGAAGUCCUUGCAACUCAUCCAUGGUGAAUUGUAUUAACUUGUUAAGAUGGCCUGAUGAAAGACAUUUGUUCCUGGCAAGCAACUGAAAAAUACCAUGAAUUCUCUCUAGAAGCUUUUGUCGUUCUGAGUCGUCAGACAAAGGCCAUCUACGUGAAAAAUCAUUGUCUACCCUAAUAAUAUCAAAAUCAGAAUGAUAGUUUUCUCUUUUCCCUAAGGAAAGCCCACUGCAGAAAUCAUCAUCUGCUUUGGAUUCUUUAGCGCUCCAAUAAUCAAACAAUGAUUCCCUAUCCUUACUUCCAUCAUCAUAGUCAAAAUCCGUAAAAGAUUGAUACCUAAACCGUUCGUCCUCAAGCAUCUUUGCUGCACCAUAUGCAUCGAUGGGUUUCCAGUUAUCAUUUACAAUCUUAUCUACACAGUCAGAAUCAACCUCUUGAGGUAACACCGACUGCAGUUUGGAUGUCAAGAUUCCUACAUGCUCAUUCUCCACAUGUUGUAGAUGAGUGUCUACAUCUGUGAACUUCUCUCGACACCUGCAACAAACCCAAAACUUCCAUGUCUGAUUUGGCUUCACAAAUGACAGAGCUUCUGACAACAAAUCAUUUGCCAGAGUAUCUUUCGAACCUGCAUGUUGCAUCUGAAGAUCCUGCACCUUUACUUCAAGAAAUUUCUUCUUGUUCUCAGAACUCAUGGAAUUCCAGUAACUGCUUACUUUAUCCAUUCUAUCUGUUGAUGAAACAUGUUUCCUACCACUAUUCAUCUUCCGUCUCUCCCCAACUCGAUGUGAAGUUGAAUUAUUAGUAGUAGACAAAGCAUCCACUGUAUUCAGCUGUUCAUCCUCAUUCUGUGAUUGUUUUUGCAUAGUUGGGUUGGAAUUUUUCUGUUGCAUCAGCCGGGCAGCAGCCACCCGAACCUCAAUCUCCUUGCGGCGCUCCUCUGGUGUUUUUGAAGCCUUCUUAAUCUCAUUUGGCCUUUUUGCCGACUGUACCAGACGAAUCUCCAUUGGAUCAUCUGAUAACUUUCGCAUUGGAAUAAGACGGAUCUUGUCAUCACCUACACCACCGACACCUGUGCUAGCCCCAUUUCCCAAGUUCUUCAUCCACAUUGAAAUCGAUGAAAUGUUCGCCUUCUGGAUAAGUGACCGUAUAUCCUGAUGUACAUGUGCAAUCCUUUCUUCUGCUGUCACCAAUUUCUGCUGGCUUAGAUCCUGAAGACUCUCCAUAGCUGGAUCAAUUGGGUUUUCAAUCGCAAGUGCACGCUCACACUCAUGAACAACCUCCUCAUAUGCUUUACUGUCACUUGCAGUGUCAUACAGAAGAUUGGCAUAGAAAUAAGUGAACUCGACAGAAUCAGGAGACAUCGACACUGCCUUCCGAGCAGACUCGAUCGCAUUUCUUAGAUGGCGACUCUUCACAUUUUGGUCAUCAAUGAGCCCUGCAACCUUAACAAAAAUAGUACCAUGAACACGAUGUAGAAGAGCAGAAGAAUCUUUGUGCCUCGCACACGCUUCUUUCAUUAGACGGAGUGCCUUGGUGUGGUUCCCACGUCGGAAUGCCAGGAGAGCCUUCUCGCACUCCUCCUUGAUGACAUCAGAACUGACAGAAACCCUAGUCAGUGGCGGCGGUGGCGGUGGAAGAGACGGAGCAAGAUCAACUUUUGCGUUCCCGACUCCGCUUCUAUCCGUGGAGAUACCAUCGAGAGACAAAGCUUUAGUCGAGAUAGCAGUGUUGUUCGCCGGCAGCGGUGGAAUCCGGAGUUUCUGAUUAGGGUUUCGUUUUCGAUUCCCCAUAGAAAGGGGGCGGGUGGAGGUAAAGGACUUUUUUUCCCUUGUUUCGAUUUUCCGACUACUAACCGUACGCCGCGCCUCUCAUCUGAAAAAUCAAUCAACCACGUGGCGGGAAAAAAACGCGUGGACCUAGAACACUCCCAUGUCGUUCAACUGCGGUGCACAGGAUUGGGGGUACGGAUCGAAUCGAAAUUACAGAGAACGAGAGAUCCGAGUUCUUACAGACUCAGCAAUCCUAUAAGAUCGAUCGACGUCGAAGAAGAAGAAAGGAAGGUGCCCCGAGGCACCGGAGUUGCACUUCUACUAUCGCAAUGGUGGCUUCGAUCGAGACGAAUCGGUGAUUCCGACGACGACGACGAACGUUCUACCUUCUCUCUCCUCUCUCCUCUCUCUCUCUUCUUCUCUCUCUUUCCUUGUCACUUGUUACCGCAUGACACCGUGGGUCCGUGCAUACAUGACGGGUAGAGUGGCAGACGUGUGUUUUAAACUUUUAAUCAUGUAAAUCUCGACCCGUCAACCGUUUAAAAUGCCGCACACCUGUUCCACACCCGCCCUGAUUAAAUGGGUCCAUACCUAAAUCCUAAGUCCAUUUUUAGCCUAGUGUCACCCACAUAUCCUAGGGGUAAGGUUUCACCCAGGUGAUAUAUAAUCAAUGCUACUUCAUUUAUUUAUUUAUUUAUUUUUCUUUCUUUUUUUUUUUGAGAAAACUUCAUUUUAUUUCAAUUAAAUUAAAUUAAAUAAUUAGUGUCAAAUUUUAGUGUUCAUCUCUUAGUGAUGUUUUUUUUGUGAGAUUUUAUCUCUACCUUCCAUUUUCAUUGAGGUACGAGAGAUAUUGUAAGUUGUAAUACAAAUUUUAAACCAUCAUUUGAGAUAACAGAAUCUUAUUACUUAGAAAGAGCAUUAAAAUCAGAUGCUGAUUAAAACCUAAGGAUUUUUAAUUGACUUGAUUCAUUUACAUAUCUAGAUGUAGUUGGUGAGGAAUUGCUCUCUCAUUUUUAUAUACAUUUAGCGAAUAAAUCACAAUCUAUCAAUAGGGAAAAGAUUUAGGUUACAGUUGGGUUUAAUAGAGAACAGUGCAUUUAAUAAUCGGGCAUGGGACAGGGUCGAGAGAUUCCUCGUCUGAAUAACAUCCUUAAUGGUCGGUUUUUAAUUAAAACCUAUUCGAAGUUAUAUCAAUAAUAAUUAGUUUACUGUAGUUAACGUGUAAUGGUGUAGUUAGUAAUUGGGUUAGUUAAACUCUUAAGACUAUAAAAGUGUAUUUAACAUUUAUGAAUUAGUUUAAUCUUUUGGAUUGAUUGAAUCAGUGUUAAGUUUUCUGAGAUGGUAUCAAAGCUUUUUCGUUAUUAACUGUUUCGUUGUUAAUCCGAUUGCCUUCUUCCGCGAUCGUAUUCUUUCGCGAUCGUCUGCGCCUUCUUCCACGAUUUGUGUCUGGAUCUUGCGCAAUUUGACGGAUUCCAGUUCACCGAUUCCGUCUAGUCUUCUGCUCGCAUUUUCUCCAGUUCACGUGGAUUCAAGAUCGGUUGUCGUUCGUGUACAACACGUGGAUUUCUCGCCGAUCGAUUGCAAUCUGCGAUUGCAACUGGUUUGAUUUUUUAUUUGAUUUUUUUAAUUAAUUCAAUCUGCGUGAGUCUGCGUACGAUUGCAAUCUACGUGCGUUUUUUUUAAUCUGCGUGCGAUUGCAAUAUGUUUUGCAUUUGUUUACGUUUACAGAUUUACCGAUUUGUUUGCGUGUGAUUUGUCUGCGUGAUCUGCAUGAAUAUUCAUUAUUCAAUGUUCGAUUUACAAAUCGAUUUGCGUUUCUUAUUUACCGAUUGAUUUCCGAUUUCUCAUCUUACGAUUUCCGAUUGAUUGCCGAUUGUUUUUCAUCUUCGAUUUCGUUUCUGGGUUUUGAUUUCGUUUUCCGGGUUAUUUCGAUUUUCGUUUUCAUGUAAUCGAUCUGAUUUGCGUGCGUCGGGAUUGAUUUGCGUUACAGAGUGUUUACUGUUUACAAAUCGAAUUAGAGAUUUUUUUGUUGUUGUUGUUUCUUUUAUUUCUAAAAAUUACAGGUCAUGUGAAGCUUUCUGAGAAAACCGACUGUUUGAGAACUGAAUGAAAAUCUCAAUCCUACCAUUUAUUUAAUUUCAAUUUCAACUCACAUGGGUCAAAGCAGAUUAAUCGAGAUUGUUGUCAAAAAAAAUCUUAACUCAAACUUUGUGCUUUUUCAUAAGAUCGUGUCAUUAUGACAAUACAAACUGAUAGUAAUUAUGAACCCUAAUUAUACUCGAGUUGUCUUGUUUGUCUCCGUUCAUUAACGUUACAAAAAUGAGACCAAUGAUAAGCUUUACACAAAAUAUAUAACAUUAUUAACAUUAUAUAAUUCUUAUUAGAAACAGAGUGGCGAUGAUCGCCGGAGAGGAGAACAAAGGAAGGAGAGGAUGAAGAACUGAUGUAUUGAAUUGUGAUUGGAAUCGUGAUUAAUUCACUGCAUUCCUUGUGCUUUUAUAUUUGAUUGUCUAACUGUAUUUGUACCUAACUAUUAACUAAUUACAUUCUAUAUUUCAUACUAAUAUUCUAUAUUUCAUAUACUAAUAUACCCCCUCAAUCCUGUGAGAAUGGUCUCACAAGAUUGACUCGUUGUUGCGCAAAUCCUUUAGGCGAUAAUGCUUUAGUGAGGAAAUCCGCUUUUUGUGACGUUCCCGGGAUAUGAGAUAUGUGCACUGAACCUGCCUCAAUUCUUUCUCUAACAUACUCAAGGUCAAUUGCGACGUGCUUUAGUUUGGAGUGACAUGCCGAGUUAGUAGCUAGAAAAACUGCGCCUCGAUUGUCUGAUUUGAGUAUAAUUGGGAUUUUUACGUCGACUCCCAAUUCCACUAUUAGGUUUUUGACCCACUCUAACUCUUGAAUAGUUGUGGCGAUGACUCUAUAUUCUGAUUCGGUGCUCGAACGUGAGACCGUGCUUUGCUUACGAGAACUCCAUGCAACCAAUGUAUCGCCAAUGUAUACCAGAUAUCCUGUUUGACUUUUUCGAUCAAUUUUGUCUCCGGCCCAAUCUGCAUCGCAAUAUCCUGUAAUUGUAAGAUCAUUGACUUUCCCAAGUGUUAUUCCCCACGAUUGAGUGCCCAAGAGGUAUCUGAGUACUUUCUUCAUAUCCGUCCAGUGAAGAGGCUUUGGAGAUGACAUGAAUUGCGAUAGCUUAUUAACUGCAAAUUGAAUGUCCGGUCUUGUUAACAUGAGAUAUUGAAGUGAGCCCACGAUACGUCGAUAAUCUUUAACUUGUUCUAUCGGUGUUUCAUCGGAGUAGAGAUCUUGAUUGGUCAACAUAGGUGUAGUUGAAGGCUUCAUGUUGUCGAGUUUAAUACUCUUGAGUAGGUUCACGAGAUAUUGAGUUUGGCAUAGAUGUAAUCCAUCCUCUACCUUUCUCACUUGAAUUCCUAAGAAGUAUGAGAUGUAGCCGAGUUUUCGUACUGCAAAUUCGUCCCCUAGUUGGUCCAUCACUUUUUCUACCGUAAAUUCAUCAGAUCCUGUGAUAACAAUAUCAUCGACAUACACAAACAAAUAUAUCUUGCACUUAACGGGAUUAGUCUUGUGUAAUAAAAAUAAUGAUGGAUUCGAGCAGCUUUGAACAAACCCUAAUGUGAUCAAGAAUUGACGAAGCCGUUUGAGCCACAUUCUCGGCGCUUGUUUUAAUCCAUACAACGCUUUAUUGAGUAGACAUACAUGAUUUGGAAACUUAUGAUCGACAAAUCCCAUAGGUUGUUGAAUAACGAUUCUUUCUGCAAUAUCGCCAUGUAAAAAUGCAUUGGAGAUAUCGAGUUGGGACAAUUUCCAUGAAUUCGUAACUGCAAUGGUGAGCACCAAUCGAAUAGACACCGGAUUCACUACUGGACUGAACGUUUCGUUAUACUCCGAUCCUUCUAUCUGCCGGAGUCCAUUUGCGACUAAUCGUGCUUUUAGUCUUUCCACCGACCCAUCUUCCCUUUGUUUUACUUUAAAGAUCCACAAUGAAUUAAUGAUGUUAUCAUCUGGAUUUCUUGGAAUCAAUUUCCACGUAUUGUUCCGUUAGAGUGCUUCAAAUUCUUGCACCAUUGCUGCCUUCCAUUCCGGAAUCAAUAGAGCUUGCUUUGGUGACUUUGGAACUGCAAUGUCGCUAGGUGAUACCGAGAGUCCAUAUUUUGGAUUGGGUUUGACAAUCCCACGUUGGGCUCGAGUCACCAUUCUAUUUUCUGGACCAGCCUUUUCCGAUGAGAUACUCGUAUUAUCUGCAGAUUGAGUUUCUUCCGUAGAUGAAGCAUUAUCCGGACCCGUGCUAGAAGUUGGUGUUUCACAACUUAGACUUUCAUGGAGUUCUCUCAUAAUAACAUCAUGACUUGGACCUGCAUGUAAUUCUUCCAUAUUAUUAUUAAUAUCAUCAUGACUUGGGCUUGGAUUUGUUGACUUGGGCUUGGAUUUAUUUUUCAAUAAUCUCCAACGUGACUGGGCCUGAAUUGGUAACCGGGCCUGGUAUUAUUUCAGGGCUUCCAAUAGUAACUGGACCUGAAAUGUUAGUUCUUGGACAAAUAUCAUAAUUAUCUCUGUCCAAACAAUUAUUUAGUGAAAAAUCACUCUCUUCAAACCUGACAUCUCUUGAGAUAUAUAAUUUUUCAGCUACUGGAUCUAGACAAAUAUACCCUUCAUGAUUAACCGGAUAUUCCAAGAAAAUACACGGUGUAGAUUUGCGGUCCAGCUUUAAGUCCGAUAUGGUUGUAGACACGGGUAACAUUUGCACCCGAAUAUUUUUAAGAACUCGUAAUCUGGUUUUCUUCCAGAUAGUUUCUCAAAGGGGGAUUUUCCUGCAUUUACAACUGAUGGAUUACGAUUAUACAAAUAAGUGGUUGUUAGUACCGUAAAAUCUCAAAAUUUAUUUGGUAGUGACGCAUGUUGAAGAAUCGUGACUGCAGUGUCAACCAGAUGUCUGUGUCGACGUUCAACUGUCCCCAUCUGUUGAUGACUGUAGGGACACGAGAAUCGAUGUAUAAUUCCAAACUCCUCAAGCAUUGGGGUCAUUUUCUUGAACUCUAACACAUUGUCAGUUUGAAAUUCUUUAAUUAAGCACCUUGUUUGAUUUUCAGCCAUCUUUUUAAAUUUGAGGAAUAUUUCUUCAACUUGUGAUUUUUUUUGAAGUGGAAAAACUCAGUUGUAAUUUGUACUUGCGUCUACAAAGUUUAUAUAAUAGCGGUAUCCUUUAGAUGAAACGCAUGGGCUAGACCCCAUAUAUCUGCUAGAACUAAUGACAGAGAUUUAUCAUACAUUGUUGACUUAAUACGAUGAGGUAAGGCAGAUGACUUUUCUAUCCUACACGAAUUACAACAGUUUACAACUUUACCGGAUAUUUGAAUUAAUUUCUCUUUUACUAAUUGAUCAACUGCCUUUUGGUGUAAAUAACCCAGCCGGCAGUGCCAAAUUUCAUUUGUCGUCCUUUCACCCAACAGUGCCACCGGACCUUGGCUUAUAUGAACAGGUAACCGAUACAAGCCAUUCUCCUGGUCCCCUUCCAAGAGUACCUCCUUAGUGGCCACAUCUUUUACUUUCACACUCUGAGAAUCAAAUUCCACAAACACAUUAUUAUCAAUACAAAAUUGAUAUACUGAUAGCAAAUUUUUGGAAGCAUUAGGAACACAUAAUAGUUCAUUCAUCACAAAUAUUUUCUGUCCAUUUGUAAAUUCCGACUUUCCUGAGUGAGAGAUAUGUAUGUUGUCACCACUAGCUGUAGUGAUAGUCGUGGGACCAAUAUAUGGUUUAGCCACUUGCAAGUUAUUUCUUAUGCCUGUGAUGUGAAUAGAAGCACCCGAGUCUGGGUACCAGAUAGCCGAUCCUGCCUCAGAUAAAUUGGCAGCAAAAUUUGCCGAUGGAGACGAUAGUCCUACUGCAACCAUUUUCCUGUUGUGAGUCGGAGAAAAUUUCUUGGCGUUAAACCUGUCAAAACAGUUCAAUGCUCCAUGCCCCUUCCGAUUAUAUAUUUGACAUGGGGCAUUUCUGAUGGACUUAUAAUUUUCAGAUUUAUUUUCAUAUUGGCACGACCCAUUACCAUUACUUUUCCCAAAUCGAUUUUUGUUUUCACGAUUUUCCCCAAAUCGAUUUUUCUCCAACGCCACAUUCGCGGAAAACGCAGACGCCGACAGGGAGGACGACGUCGAUGUGAAGCCGCGAUUUUCUUCCGAUAAGCGAAGUUCUUGAUCCAUGAGGAGUGAUUGGAGGUCGACGAGGGUCAUCGUUGCGUCAAAUCGUGUUGUGAUGGAGUUGGUGAAGGUCGUGUAUUCUUGCCCCAAGCCGCCGCCGACGGUAAUCAUCUUAUCUGCUUCUGUGAUCUUUUCCCCAAUCAUCUGCAUUUCAUCGAUUAGGGCUUUGGCAUGAGAAAUGUAUGUCGACAUUGACAUCGUCGGCUCCUUCUUCAUCGUCAGAAAUUGACGUCGGAGAUACAAGAUCCGGGUGAUUGAUCCGGAUGAAUACAACUUUGACAGAGCCUUCCAGACCUCGGCGGACGAUGUCAAACUCGCCACCCGAGAUAGAAUGUCCGACGACAGUGACUGGAAGAGCCAUCCCAGGAGCAGCUGGUCCUGUCGCACAAAAAUUGGUGAUUCACUUAGAUUGAUAUCUCACCUUCCACAUACUUUAGCAAAUCCGUGCCAAUGAGCACACAUGUGGCCUGAGCCUUCCACGAUACGUAGUUAUCCUUGUUGAGGGUAACAAAUGAGAGCUUCUUCACAUGAAGAUGUUCCCCUACGCGAAUGACGAUUCUAUCAGAUGAGUUUGCGGAAGCAUCGGUACCGGGCGAUGAUACCAUAUUAGAAACAGAGUGGCGAUGAUCGCCGGAGAGGAGAAUAAAGGAAGGAGAGGAUGAAGAACUGAUGUAUUGAAUUGUGAUUGGAAUCGUGAUUAAUUCACUGCAUUCCUUGUGCUUUUAUACUUGAUUGUCUAACUGUAUUUGUACCUAACUACUAAUUAAUUACAUUCUAUAUUUUAUAUACUAAUAAUUCUUAACAUUAAAAAAUAAAUUAUUUUCAACAUACGUUAUUAAAAUAUCAUUUAAACAAACAUCAUUCAUACAAUUACAAUAAUUUCAUUUCAUAAGAUUUAUUAUCGAAAAAAAAUAUUCACUCAAACAGUCGCAAUUGGUAAUACGGCAAAAACCUAAGUUUUAAAAAAUUGUAGUUUAAUCUUCAAAGUUAAUAACAAUAUAAAAUUUUCAGUAUAUGUAAUUAAAUUAUAAAUUGAUGAUACCCUGGGUGACGGGGGUUUGAAACGAACACGUGACAUUCUUUGGAUGAAACCUUCGCCAACAUCUGGAGGGCAGGCCUACAUCUUUGGAUGAAACCUACAACGAAGUUUUAGCGAUCGUCGCUGAAAUCAAUUUAGCGACGAUUUUUGACUUUCAGGAAUCUUGUAGUGACACCUAAAGGCUAAAAAUGCGUGUUCGAGGUGACAAAGGGGCAGUUCCUUGGAUAUAAGAUCACUCCGAACGGAAUCAAACCACUGACAAAGAAAGUCAAAGCAGUCAUGGCAAUGGUCUCCCCAAAAAUAAUCAAAGAGAUACAUAGACUAAACAAUCGGGUCACGGCGCUUAGCCGAUUCUUACCACGGAGAGCGAACCGAUGCCGCCCGUUCAAAGCACGUAGCAUCGAAGAUGGUGGCAUGGUCGGAGGAAUUAAUGCGCGCAAGCGUUCAAAGAACUAAAAGAACAACUCGCAAACCUCCCAACACUGCAGCCACCCUGCAGACUAUUCUUGUAUGUGGUCAGCUCCGAGUUCGUUGUAAACGUGGUCCUCGUGUUGGAAACAAAGGAGCAGCAAAGACCGGUUACUGCUAUUAGAGUAUAUAUUAUACACUUUGGUUAUUUGUUGUAACAACACACCCAAUCUGUUAUGGGAUUAUUACAUCUUCAAUUGUAUAUAUAUACAAUAAUAAAAUAGUGUCAAUCACUCAUCGGUGAUUAGCUACAAACACUAUUGUGUUCAUCUUCUCCUCCCUCAUCUUUCAUCAUCGAUAUUUUGUCUUCAACCUCCGAGGUAGUCUCAUCCAAUAUAGUAUCAGAGAGUGUUGUUGAUCCUACGGCCGCAGCUCCGUUGCAUCCUUCGGGUACUCUGAUUCCGGCGAAUAUCGUAUCUGCUCCGAUGAUCACCCACCCAAUGGCAACAAUGGGCUUCAUCAACAACACUUCCGCGAACUCAGUUCCUGCAAUUAAUUUCACAGGAAACCCAUUUUCAAAUCAGAUCGGUGGAAAUUUUUUCCGUCAGGCCGGCGCCGAUCUUCAAAAUCAGUUCGGUGGCUCUUUCCUAAAUCAAUUCGGCGGUCAUCUUCUUCGAGAUGGAAAUCUGAAUCAGGCCGGCGCGACUCUGCAACAACCGUUCUAUCAGAUCGGCGACCCUCAAAUCGGGAACUCCACGUUCGACGGAGCUCCGCGAUUUCCGUUUGGCGUCCCUCAAAUCGGACAUCCAGGAGGCGGCAUCUUCCCAAAUCAAACCGGAGGAAAUUUCUAGACAUCAAAUCCGACUCUAGACAACACAUCAGAUCCGCUUCUACAUCAAGUCGGAGCCACUUUUCUAGUCGCCGGAAACAUCGUCGGAAACUUCUUCGGAAACCCUGAAUUGCUCGUCGAAACUCCGUCCUUCGGCUCGAUCCAGAGCUUUCUUCAUAUAAAGCUCAAAAGUACCAACUAUUUGGUUUGGAAAAUGCAAUUUCAACCUCUUAUAAAUUGUUUUGGACUACAAUCGUUUAUCGACAGGUCGAUUCCUUCUCCUCCACCGUCACCAACAUAUCUGAUCUUUCUGGCGUGGUGGAGAAAAGUUUAGUUGUUGUGUAGAUGGAUUUUAUCAUCCCUCUCAAAAGAAAUCAUUCCCACAAUCAUUGGUUUAAAUUCAACAGCCGAAAUUUGGUCAUCUCUUGCUGCUUCUCUUGGGUGACCGUCGGAAUCACGGAUUCUUCAACUUCAGAUGCAACUGCAAAAUACUAAGCAAGAAUCGACAGAGGACGUGGUCGUGUUUCUCCGACGAGCUAAGUUUCUAUCAGAUAAAUUAGUCGUCACAGGUGCUCCAGUUCCUGCACGAAUUUUUAAUGCGACGGUAUACAAUAAUCUUGGUCCCGAUUACAGUGAUGCAGUGACCGCUCUUGCCAUUCGACAAACAUCGGUUGCAUUUGAGGAGCUCUUAGAAAUAAUGACCAGCCAUGAGAUUAGAGUUCGGAUGAAACACCUAACGAUCUUGGCAAAUCAAACACAAGUUACAUUGACAACAUUCGACGGAGUUACAAAAUAUGGCCGGUUCGGUGGUCGAGGACGUUCUGGUGGUGGUCAUGGUAAUAAGUCAGUCUAGCCAAGAAGAGAUCCAUGUCCGGUUUGUGGUAUUUUAGGAUACAGUCUAUAAAUGUCAAUACAGGGUUCAGCCAAAUCAAAAUAAUCAGGUGCAAGAAAAUCUCAUAACAUACCACAUCAACUUGGUUUCCUGACACGGGCGUCACUCAUCACUUCACGCCACAUGUGCAGUCCAUCACCACUCCACAUGUCUACAAUGGACUCAGGUCAGCCCAACGAGAUAAUGGAGACAAAUUAAAAAUUGCACACAUGAAAGAUGGUAAAAUUUCAAGUGGAGCCUCUACUUUUUUUACUUAAAAAUAUUUUGCACAUUCCAUCCUUAAACACUCCAUUAUUAUCAGUCCAACAAUUUUGCUAUGAUAAUAAUUGUUAUUUUGAGUUUAAUUUUUCUCAUGUCUUUGUAAAGGAUCAGGUCACACACAAGGUGCUACUUCAAGGAGCACAUGAUGGCCAUCUUUACAAGCUUGUGCCCUCUUUGUUUAAUCCUUCACUUCACUCGGUUCGCGCUUCGAUUGAUCUUUGACAUCAAUGACUUGGACACCUGCACGAGUCUAUAGUGCAUCAAGUUGUCUCCAAAAACAAUCUUCCUUUGAGUGCUUCUAAAUUCAAUAAAUGUAGGUCAUGUAUUUUGGGUAAGGCAAGUAGAUCUCAUCUUGCUUCUCCAUACUCUAAAUCUCAUUUUCCACUUAAAUUAAUUCAUAGUGAUGUCUGGGGGCCCUCUCCGGUCUCAUCUCAUGAUGAACAUUGCUAUUUUGUUUUCUUCAUCGACGAUUUUUCGAAAUUUAUUUGGAUUUUUUCCAUUAAACUCAAAUCUGAAGUUGCUGAUGUUUUCAAAAAAUUUCAUGCAUUAGUUGAAAGACAACUUGAUUGUAAAAUAAAAUCAUUUCAAUCAGACUAUGGUGGAAAAUUUCAGGCACUUGCGUGUUAUUUAAAUGCACAUGGAAUUCACCAUAGACGAGCAUGUUCCCACACUCAUAAAUAAAACGGGACAGCCGGAAGAAAGAUAUGGCAUAUCUUUCGAUACAGGGUUAACUCUCCUCGCUCACAGAGUCACAGUAAGGUUCCGUUUCAUUUUUGGAAUUUUGCUUUUUCCACCUUAGUUUUCUCAAUUAAUUGUAUUUCUUCUAAAACUCACGGUGUUUCACCUUUACAAAAACUUUUCAAUAUCAUUCUGGGACACUCAUUUCUUAAGGUUUUUGGGUGUGAAGCAUUUCCAUUGUUGAGACCCUACAACCGUCACAAAUUCAGUUUUUAUUCUCAGUCAUGUGUUUUUUUAGGUUAUAGCCCGUCUCAUAUAGGACUUGAUAUUCCAAAUCAAAAAUACUAUAUAUUUCGACAUUGUACUUUUCUCGAAAACUCUUUUUUCUUUGAAAAUUUACAGGUUUCUCAAAAUCAUUCUCAAAUUCCAGCACCUAGCAACUCAAGUCCAUGGGGUGUGUUCACAACAUCAAAUAUAGAUGUCUCAAAUUCUGAUCAACAAAUCUCACUCAUCCCACAUGAGGAAACUGGGUCCGUCUCACCAAUUUCAACAAGCCCGAUGACUCAUGAUUUUACUAUAUCUCAAAGUCGUCUUCAACUUGAGUCUUCCCCAAAUGUAUCACCGUCAAGAAUCAA
Molecule: long non-coding RNA, 57775 nt
Filed under: Zostera marina
Lineage: Eukaryota; Viridiplantae; Streptophyta; Magnoliopsida; Alismatales; Zosteraceae
Description: long non-coding RNA (ZMAR_LNC003720)
Source: RNAcentral